RNAcentral lists this long non-coding RNA (57359 nucleotides) under Arabidopsis thaliana (thale cress). Its description in RNAcentral is "long non-coding RNA (ATHA_LNC000592)". The stretch from base 11039 to 11120 matches the Rfam family "tRNA". Lineage: Eukaryota; Viridiplantae; Streptophyta; Magnoliopsida; Brassicales; Brassicaceae. The record is from RNAcentral.
UUCCGGUGGAACGUAACCUGGUGUACCCGCGAGCGUGCUCACGCUCAGAUGCGUGUCUAGAGCGCUGACCAGCCUCGCCAUUCCGAAAUCCGAAACACGUGCUUCGAAAUCUUCGUCCAGAAGAACAUUGCUUGAUUUCAUGUCUCUGUGGAUAAUGUGAGGAAUGCAGCUAUGGUGCAAAAACGCUAGCCCUCUUGCAGCUCCAAUCGCGAUCUUCUUCCUUGCGGCCCAAUUCAGAUAUAUUCCGCCUUUCUUCGAUGAUUUCUCGUGAAGAACGGUUUCUAAGCUUCCCCAUUUCAUGUAUUCGUAGACAAGAAGCCUCUCUUCACCAACCUUGCAAUAUCCCAAAAGUGGAACAAGGUUUCUGUGUUUGAUUUUUCCGAUUGUUUCCAUCUCAGCCAUGAACUCUCUGUCGCCUUGUCCCGUGAUUCGAAUCAACUUCUUGAUCGCUACAACAGAUCCGUCUCUGAGUUGGGCCUUGUAUACUUCUCCAAACCCACCAGACCCGACCAUAGUCUCUGCGCUAAACCCGUUUGUAGCUUCAAGAAGAUGAGCGAAAGUGAGUUUUCUCAGCGGUUUCUCGAAUGUAGCAACGUUGAUGCUAAGCGGUUCAGGAACGCUAGAGAGCUUCCAGCUGCAGCUUCCGGAAGUUGGAAGGCUCUCAAUGUAUUUCUCCCUCUUCUGUUCCUUCUUCUGAACUUUCCUCACCCUGUAAAGCGCCAUGACUAGCAUCACAAAGCACAUGAAAGAAAACGCAAUUCCAGCGAUCACAGCGGUUGCAACAGUUUGCUUCUUGGCAUGGAUACGGGAGGUAAUGGGCCGUCGAGGAGCUGAACCGCAGGGACGCAAAGGAACACCACAGAGGCCUGAGUUGUUUGCGUAUCUCGAGACAGGGAACGUUGUAAGCUGACCUCCAAAUGGGAUUGGACCAGUAAGGUUGUUGUUAGAGACAUCAAGAUCACUGAGGAAAGAAAGCGACCCCAGCGACCCGGGUAAGUACCCUUGAAGAUUGUUGUGAGAUAGAUCGAGAACACCAAUCGCUUUCAAUCCUCCAAAACUGUCCGGGAUGGUUCCGGUUAUCCGGUUAUGUCCCAAAUUCAAGACCUGGAGAUAGCCCAUGUUACCAUAACCAGGAGGUAUAAAACCUGAAACAGCAUUAUACGAGAUGUCGAAAUAGAUCAUGCUUCCAUUUGCUGAGAAUGUGUACAUUGUCAUGCCUGAGUAUAUCCGUGUCGCGGGACACGAAUGAACCAUUGGUAGCCGCUCUAAUCGUUCAGCACGAAUGCCUUCAAACUCUACUAACCCACCUGCACCUCUGCAGUCUGUUCCACCUUCGUUUCUCACAAACGCAAACUGUUUACCUGAAACGCUCCCAGGCAUUACUAACCCGGCUUGGCUAGCUAGCUCACCCGGGAGGUCCCCGGUUAGAUUGUUGCUGUUCAGAUCAAGCCAGAUCAGACUCUUGCAGUUCCCAAGCUGGCGAGGAACGUUCCCGGACAGAGAGUUAUUCCCUAGCUGCAAGAUUGCUAACUUGGAAAGAUUACCAAUCCCGCUCGGGAUUUUCCCGGUGAGACGAUUACUAGAAAGAGAGAUCCAGAUCAUAUUGGUGCAUCUCGAGAUCGACUCAGGGAUUGAACCGGUUAAGAGAUUGUUGUUGAGGAUAAGAGUUUCCAAAUUUCCUCCUUUAACACAAACACCUUCCGGGAUCGUCCCAGUGAGAUUGUUCGCCCACAUAACCAAAUCCGACAGAUUCGGCAACAUCCAUAUCUCUUUCGGAAUCGGACCAGUAAGCUCAUUGAAGCUAAGAUCAAUUGUCUUCAAGCUCUUGCAUUUACCAAGCUCCAUAGGAACUGUUCCUGAGAGGUAAUUGUUAGCUAUGAGAAUCUUUUCAAGAACCGGCGAGCUUUGCAGAGAGCAGAAACCAGACGGUACAUUUCCGGUGAAACCAUUUGAGCUUAGAUCAAGAACACGAAGAUUUGAACAGUUUGUGAGAGAAAUCGGAACAGAGCCUGAGAUGUUGUUGUAAGCAACGUAUAGAUAAGUGAUUCCGGUGAUUUUACUCACGACCGUGUUUAAGAAAUCUCCGGAGAGGUAGUUGUUUCCGAGGUUAAGAUUCUGUAACCAGACGCAGGCGGUGAACUGUGAAGGAAGCUCGCCGGAGAAAGUGUUUCCGGAUAGAUCAAGAAUCACUAGGGUUUUGCAGAGUAGAGAAAGCUCCGGUGGGAUUUCGCCGGAGAGACGGUUAUGAGCUAGAGAGAGCUGUUUCAGAUUCUGGAAACUUCCCCAAUACUCUCCGUUAGGGAUUUUUCCGGCGAGAUUGUUCCGAGAGAUGUUUAAUGUCUCGAGGAAUUUGCAGUUUGGUAGAGUGAUUGGGAAUUUAUCACCGGAGAGAUUGUUCUGUGAUAGACUGAAGAAGGUGAGAUUCCCACAGAUACCGAAACUGAGAUCGGAGAAGUCGCCGGAUAAGUUGUUGUGAGUUAGAUCGAGAUAUUUCAACGACGCCGGAAAAUCUGAAAUAAAACUCUCCGGAAUCUUAUCUGAUAAGAUGUUGUAAGAGAGAUCAACAGUCGUCAAGCUCUGUAAAGACGACGGAGCAAAACCUAAUUUUCCGACGAGCUUGUUGUUGGAGAUAUUCACCGAAACCAGAUUCGAACAUUUUGAGAAAACGUAAUCCACCAUUGAAUAGUCUGAAAUAGAAUUCGAAGACAAAUCCAGAACUUGAAGAUAACAAUCAGAACCAGACGAAUCUCCUCCAGAGGAGAAGUAAUUUCCUUGCAAGUAAAGAUUCUGGAGAUUAGGCAACGCCGUGAGGUUAACUAGGUUUAGGGUUCCGGUGAGUCCACUGUUUCGGAGAUCUAAUCCGACGAUUCGACCAUCGUCAGAGCAAGAAACCCCUCGCCAAGAGCAUGAACCACGACCCGACUCGUAUUUCCAGUUACCAAGAACGUUAUUAGGAUCAGAUUUUACAGAGUUUUGCUUGAACGCCAAUAACAGAGCAGUUUCGUUGAAGUCAUCGUUGAUUAGGUGUUUUCCAUGAAUGCCCAUCACAAGAGAAGUCGUAAAGAAACAGAGUAUCAACACUAACAGCCAUCUCUGCUUCAUUUGGCACAGCAAGAGUUCGCUUAACUUCCUUUUAGAGGUUGAAAAUCCAAGCUUUUAAUUUCUUGAAAGAGUAAGAAUCUUCUUUUACGGACAUGAAUGAAAAGAAGUUUAUCUUCACUGUGCUCAACUCCUGAAAAAAAACAAAGAACCAAAAAAAAAAAACAGAGUAAGUUUUCAGAAUAACAACAAAGAAACAAUCUUUUUCAGUUUUUCUCGAAAAAGGUCGAUCUAAAUAUAGAACCUUGUUCAAGAAGAAGAGUAGAAACUAAGUUUGACGGUGACGGAAGGAGAGAGACAGAGACACUGAUGAGGAAGACAACAGAGGUUGUCUUUUAGAUACUGUUUUUCUGCUCAAGUACGAUGUUGCAGAGCUGGUCGGAUUUAAAAAAAAAAAAACCAAAGUUAAAAAAAAAAUUUGGCUCUUUCCUUUCCAAAAUCAGAUGGUUUAAAGAUUCACUAGCAAGGAGAUAAGUGCUUACAUAGAGAGAAAACUUUUGCAAGCAAGACCAUAACCCAGAAAUGAGAAAGAGAACAGAAAAAGUGAAUUUUUCCUGGAAAAAAACCAAGAGUUCUCCCGGAAAAAAAAAAGUUCUCUUUCUUAAUCGUUGCGUAAUUGAGGAGUAUGGUUUAUUAGUCUUUGUUUGGAAAGAAAUAUCAAAGGUCUCUCUAAUUUGUAAAGCGAAUUAUUUCUUUAUUUAUUUACAAUUUUCUCAUUUGCGGGGAAAUUACAAAAGCAAUAGAGAACACAUUUUUAAAAAACAAGAAUAAAAAGGCAAGUGAGGUCACACACACAAAAAAAAAGGCAAGAAAAAAGGAAAAGCAGAUAAAUGAAGAUAUAAAUCCUACAAAAAAGAAGAGAAAACAUAAUCAUGAUACUAAAGAUUAAUUUUCUCUUUAUAAUCUCUAUCUAAUAAUCUUGCAUUAUUUUAAUAAGAAAACUAAAUGUUUCACUAUUGAAGUUACUUGGGUUGAUGAUUUAGAAUUCAAUUUUACUGAUUUACAAAAGUUAUCUUAAAUGUAAUAUUUUAUCUACCAAUUACUAAUAAUUAGUCACCUUCAAGUUAAAUGAUUUACUGAUUUAGUAGUAACAAAACUGUGAGAUACUUGAGAUUUAUUAACUUAAAAUACAAACUCUAAAUAAUCUGCAAAUAUGUAGUACAACAGCUGUUUUUCUUUUUCAUUUGCCCGUUGGUAAUAAAAUCCUAAAUGGGACUUUUAGUCAAACACUUGGAUUCGAUUUAUUUAACGUUUCUAAUAAAUUAUUAUCAACCUUUAUCAUACUUUUUGGGGUUAGAUGAAUUAACCGGCACGUAUCGAGAUUAUAGGUCUCUUGUUCCCAUAUAAAUAGUAACACCUAACCUAUACAACUAUACAAAGGAAAUGAAUAUGAUAAAUUUGACGAUUAUUACGAUAAAGGCCUACUUUUUUCCUUAGUUCUCGUAUGUUUCUACGCAUUUAUGCAACUUUCUACCCUACAAGUACAAGGCACGAAGCACUAGCUUAUUAAAUUUAAAAGAUAUUUAACAAAUAUUGUUUUUAAUUUACCUUUGGUCCUUCUCCUUUCCCUUUUGUAUAUUAUGUGUGGCCUCGUGUUUUGUCUUUAUUUAUGUAGUUGCUGCUUAACUUUUUGCCAAAGUAGCAUUUUAUCCAACUUCUACAUAAAACAUAUAGUAGCUCAAGUUUAGUCUAUCAAGGUAGUAGUACACUUGAGAAUUAACUAAGAGAAGCCUCUUAAAGAUUGUUUACAUUUUAUAAACACUUACUUCGACUAGUUACAAGUUGAAGUGUUGAAUAACUUUUUUUUUUAAAAAGAAUCUAUUCUAAAUGCCAAAUUUCUGGGGUAUAAUAAACUAUGUAUAUAGAUGAUAGAUGAGACCUUAUUUACUCUUCCAUAGCACAUAUAUCAACAUGUAAUAAACCAAAUACAAGUGUAAUACAUAAACAGAAAAUAGAACAUUAAUUCCAAAAAUCUGUGACAUUCACAUGAAAAAAUGAGCUAAAUAGAUUAAGAGAAAAACAAACAAAAUUUUCUCGAAGUGUUAACACAUAACAUAGUUUAUACACAUAGGAAACAUAAAAAAAUAGAAUAUGAUUCUAAAACAUUUAGCCUGUGUAAUGUUCGAUGUAAAUGACAAAUUUUGAAUUAGAAUAUAGUGAGGACCACAAACGGAUCUAGGAAAUCAAUUUAAUAAUAUUAGGUUAGAUAAAAAGAGAAUUAAAAUAAGAAGGGUUUUUAUGAAAAGCAGGAGACGGUUUUCGACGCGCGUGGGCCGUAGGGUUGGGCCGGGUACCGGUUUUGUCAGUAUUCUCUUCCGCACGAGCGGAUAUUUUGUGACCUCUUUCUACUCUAUAAAGAUUCUCCUCAUGCCCACUAAAUAUUUUUAUGUAUAGUGUCAUUAUGAAAUGAUUCAGUGACUAAAUAUAAAGUAUAAUACUUUGAAAGAAAAAAGUUUGCAGUCUCAUAAUUUUAUUAAGAAUCGGAUUGGUAACAAAAAUUUUAACGUCCAGAGAGAAGAUAACAAUACAUACGUAGUUUAAAACUAUUCAAAGCAACGGGUAAAAAAAAUUAACGUGUAGAGAGAAGAUAACCAUGCACAUAGUAAAGUUUUUGUGAUUAGUUACAGCGAAAACUGUAAACUCUAUAUCGUAGCGAUACAAAGUUACCAAUUCCACUCUAAAAAUAAAAGGAUUUUGUAGCUAAAACAAUCAUAAAUCUUUGACUCUUCUUCUUUCUUUUACUACUCAAAUUUGAUUAAAGAGUUAUUAAACUUAAAUGAUUGACAAAAAAAAGAGAGUUAUUAAAGUGAAAUUUCAUUAUAAGUUUUCACAUAAAUCAUAUUUCAAAAAUUCCAAUUUUCGUUACACAUCAUUAAUCAGGAUGUAAUUGGUUCUUUUGUUCUAUAAUGAAUGGUGGAUGAUGACUUCAGUCUUCAUGAAAACGACUAUUUUUUUAGUGAUGACCCAUAUCCUAAUCAACCCAGUAUUAUUCCUCUUAUUUGUCUAAAUUACAAUCAUUUUUUUACAUGUAUAUAUUUAUUUUUUUCCUUUUAGUAAUCCAUAACUUGUAAAAGAAGAAACAAAAAAAGAGGCAGAAAAAGACAUUUUAAUGGUCCAACGUAUCAUUAUUAAUAUUAGGUAAACUAAAAUUGAGGAAUAGUUCAUGCAUGUCUCUCGACACCUUUCAAGCUUUUAUAUACAAAAUUCACAUAUCGAAAAUGAUUUAUCGGGGAUUUACCAUUUGAAUGUUAACAUUGAUUUUCUACUUUAAUUACGCUUUUCUAGUUGAUAUAUCGAAAAUGGUUACGCUUAUAUAUAUUUUGAUAAUUUUGUUUGACAUUAAGGACCGACCUAAUAAUGAAGAAAAAGCUAAGCAAUUCAUAGUAUAUGACCAACAAAAUUCAAUCACAUUCCAAUCAAUUAGUCAACUGUUUAUUAAUUUUGCCCCUUUUUUCUUAACAAGUUAACUGUAAAAGCCUCUUUUCAGUGCAAAUCAUGGGUCCAUCUUCAGUCAUUACGCUAUCUUUGUGGAUCUUCUGUAUAUGAUUUACUCAUCAACAUGAACAUUUUCAAGAUUUGGUUCCCAACUUUAUUUUAACAGUUGUACAUCACAUUCAUGCAAAAGAAAAUAAUUUUAUAAAAAAAAUUCAAACAUGCACGCUAUCAUUAAACUAGUGUAAAAGGUGGAUAAAGCUAUACAAACAUGAAUUUAGAAUAUUGUCGAUUCUGAACAUAGUAAAUAGAGAUUGGCCAACAAAUGUACAGUAUCAAUUUCACUAGAUUUCUUUUGAUUAUAUGAGAUGAGUCUGUUACUUUGGUGAGAAGCAAUAUUUUCAAAACUAAUAGAGGUAUAUAUUAAUAUUAUUUUUACGAUCUUGUUUGCCUCGUUCUAAUCAAUUUGACCUCAAAAAUUUAAAAGAAGAAAAAUAUAAAAAAAAAGCUAUACCAAAAUGGGCACAAACCCAAUCAAUGCCCAUUUGUACCAACCUCUUUGUCUUUUCUCCGGUCGUUGAUCGAUCUCCUACGACUCAUUUCAUCUCUGCGUUACAAAAACAAAGAGAACCAAAAAAUUUAACUUUGGUUUUGGUCAUAUUUUAGAUUUCUAGUGUUUAGUAAAAGAGAUAUUUUUACCUGAGAAAAGUCCAAAUGGAAUCGUAAUGAAGGAGGCCAAGCAGUUUCCUUCGUUUCCCUUUGUGAAUUACUUCACCUCGUUUUACAACAGGUAAUUGCUUUACACCUCUAGCCUCCAUCAACUCCUUGGCUACACCAACUGUGGCGUCUGGAUAACAAGUAAGUAAACCGCGUUCUUGGCCUCGAUAGCUUAUUUUCUUAGUACAUACAGAAGAAACCGGACAUGUAUUCUCCUGCAAGAGACGAAGACUUAAACUCGGUUCAACUAAAUGCGAUGAGACUGAGGGAGUUUGUUUUGUUUCACUACUCACAUCUAAGAUUGUAGAGGCGUUAUUGGACAAGUAUCUUCUUAUGUCACCGUGUGUUAGGAUUCCAGCUAGAAAAUCAUCGUCAUCGACCACCAUAAUGCAGUUUUGGUGGCUCUCUUUAAGGAUGUUUCUUGCUUCUCUUAGAGUUGUUCCUGAAGAAACUUUCACAUAGUUCUUUGACAUAACCCGCAUAACUUUUAAGUCUUCCAGAAUAGUCUCUUCAUCCAAAAAGGAAUUAUGGUCAGGGUUCUCUAUGACGGUAAGCUCAAGGGAGUCAGCAUUAUCCGUAUGUCUCCAGACUCCUUCGGUUUUACGUUCGGAAGGUGAAAGAGAAGAGUAUCCUCUUCCUGUGCUACGACCUUCAGAUGAAUCACUCUCUUUGCCUUGGUUUGCCACAGAGGGAACCCAUAUUGCUAAACCAACUGCUCCCUGUUCAUAGAUAUCGACAGAGAGAUAAUAUCAAUAACAGCUUAAUCAAAAUAUGAACCAGAAUAUAGAAUGUUAAAUGGAAAAGGAAUGUUUUUAUCUACGUACAAACUAGCCCUGGACCUCUGGUUAUAAACAUAGUAUUACAACGACAUGGUCAGUGGUACAUUUCAUAGUGUCAACAAGGGCUUUACUGAUCAAUUAGUUAAACAGGCAAAUUCGGGAAUAUGUUAUGAAUCCGCCUCUAUUAAGUGAGUUUAUACAAUAAGCAUCACUGAAACAGAACGGGAAAGAGAAUAUUUACCAUGAGGGGAAGCAAAAUUCUAUAAUCUUUCGUUAGCUCGAACAGCAGUAAUACUGAUGUUAAGGGAACAGAGCACAUUGAAGCUAGUGUCGCUGCCAUUCCAACCUGCAUCACAUAAAACGAUGGCAUCUUAAUGUGUCAGAUUUCACAACAAUCAAAUUGGACAGUACUAAAAUUUAAUUUAAGAAAACUGCACUGAAGCAAGGGCCUGCGUCAAAGGGAAUACAAUACCAGAGCAUAAGCUUGUGGUUGAGCAACAGCAGCAUUACCAGGAAUAGCUCUGUUAAUAAUCUCAGCAGCCGAACCCCCAAAUACAGCACCAACAGCAGCACCAAUCAUCAAACUUGGUGCAUAUAGACCACCUACAAGCCCAGAGCCUUUGCAAAGAGCUGUAGCCACAACUUUUGCAGCGGCUAACUGAGCUAAUAACCAGAUUCCAGGAGCUGAAGCACUUUUUCCAGUAUGCAGGAUUUCCUCAACAUUUGUAAACCCCCAAUACAAAAUUCCAGGGUACUUGAGAGCAAUAAUUCCAGCUCCUAAACCACCUAGUGCAGGGCACACGAUAGCAGGAAGACCAAAUUUGUCUUUGAUGAAAUCGAAUGACUUGGUAAACCACGUGACGAGCCGAGAAAAAACAACACUGACAGCACCGCAAAGCAUGCCUAGUAUCAGGUACAGAGGGAGCUCUGGAGACAAGUAAAAAAUAUGUUUGGAAACUUAUACACAAAUACUCGAUGAAGCAAAUAAAUAUUGGCAUUCAUUAUCUAAAGAUACCAAGAUUUUUUAUGAUAUAUCACAUUAUCACCUAUCCAUCAGGACACUAAAUCAUAAGCUACAAAAAAACGCAAACCACAAGACUAACUGGAAGGUUUGCAAUAUAGAUUAACAGUGAAAGAAACAUACCUGCAGCAGACUUCAGGUCGUAUGAGGGAACUGUGAAAGCUGAUUGAGUCCCAAGCAGAGCAUUUGACACAGUCGAUGAUAUAACAGAGGCCAAUAUUAUCAUUGCAGUGGUAAAUGGAGGCGAGUUCUCGGCACGUAAAGGUCUUAAAACAGUUUCAAUAGCAAAGAAACAACCCGCCACUGCUGCAUUGAAACCUGUAACGAGAAAUAAAGAUGACUAUCUCAAUGCUCUCACCUUUAGUAAGAAACACCACUACCCAAGAAUCAUAUUUCAAAAUGGCCAUAAGUAAACUAUUUUUCAGUAAUUACUCCCGCAAGAUGCUUUGUCUAGAUCUACACACCUAUGAUCCACAUACACAUUUCUAGGCUAUAUAGUACAUAGACGAUUGUGAGACCAAGAGAGUGAGCGAGAAGAACGAGGGGCAAUAAAUGUUGCAUAGGCCAACAUACCAGGUCCCUAAUAUGGACAUUUCUUGAUCAAAUUCACCAGGUAAAAGCUGAUCUUAAGGAGCUAUGUUUUCAUUGACAAUCCAAUAACACAUAAAUAUCAACUCAGAAGAUGCAUAAACUGUUGAAGAGAGCGAGGGUGUAGAUUAUACCAGAUGCAAUCCCAGAAGCCGCACCAGCUGCGGUGAGAGCUAUUCUUCUUUCUCUGUUGUUUUCCAUCAUGAGUGCAAAACCGUUGGCACAUGAUUUUCCAAUGUCAACGCUAGGUCCCUCAGGACCCAGUGAACAUCCUGUACCAAGGGUCACAGCAGCUUGGAUGGCCUUUAUCACUGGAUAAAUACCAGCAAGAAAAUCUAGUCCUUGUCUUUGAGAAGAAUUAGAUUGCCUUAUUUGGUCUAAGAUCUCAAGCAAACCGUGCAUCAUUCCUACUAUAACACCUCCAGUGACCGGAAUUAGAAGAAUCCGAUGCCAAGUAUCAGCUAGUCUCUGUAGACGAAGCCAUGCAGCACCUUCGUUGGGAGUACCAGCCCAUGCCCACUCAUGAAUGACAUGAACCUAAGACAAAAAUACUACUCUAUAGAAUCAGCACUCAAUUUGUAAAUCAAUCGAAUCAAUAUACAUCGAGAUCUGAUGUAUGACCGUACCCCUUUAUUGAAGCCGGCGACACAAAUUCCAGCGGCAACACCAAUAAGACAGCCAAUGAGAAGCAGAGCCCACUCAGGUGGAGCACUAUCUCCGAGAACUUCUUCAUCAAACCCGUACUCGUCAUUUCGAUCAUCAACGCUAUGUAAAUUACUGAUACCACCACCAUCUUCUUCUCCAGCAGCCGAAAACGCUGAAGAAGAAGAAGGAUUAUGGCGCUCUCUAUCGACUCUGAUAUUCUCCAUCCGUUUAAAACUUAAACGACGACCGGAAAGAGAAAAUCUCCGAUCUAUAUGCUUGAACAGAUCCCUAACUCCUCCAGCUCCACUUCUGAUAGCCGGAGACUGAGAUUCAACAUCUAGAUCACCCUCUCCUCCGCCAAUGCCGACUUCAUCUCCGUCGGUGGAUCGUAACAGAUGUCUGUCUUCGUUAUACUCUCCGGCUCCUCCCGAUGACAUAACUGAUUUCAAUUGGCUCUUUUACCAACAAACCAUCCCUUCGCCGUGAUAUUUCACUACUGCAUCAAUUUAAGUCUCCCCGGGAUGAAAUCUAAAUCUACGCCGCAGAGAUUCGUCGCCGGUGUUGUUCAGAUUUGAUCGGAUUCAGAUUCCGAGUUUUUUUUUUACUAAAGUCGAUAACGAAACACGCGCCGGAGUCGUAAAGAGAACCUUUAGUGUCAACUAGAAGAUUCAAGCGAAGCCACCAUUUAUGGGCCUUUAUUGGGCUGGUUUAUUUUUGUAACAAUUAUAUAAAAGGUACGUUCGAUUCUGCACAACAAGUCGAUAUGUCCGAGUGGUUAAGGAGACAGACUUGAAAUCUGUUGGGCUUCGCCCGCGCAGGUUCGAACCCUGCUGUCGACGAUGCGUUUUCCUUUUUUUGGUUGGUUAUUUCAAUUUCUGAAAAUUAGUCUUCGAUGUUCGGUUAUCCGAUCGGUUUCAGUUCUAUAGUGUUCAUUCGGGUAUCUUGAAGUUUUGGUUCCAGUUCAUUCGGAUUUAAAUUUUAGUAUCUAUUCGGUAAAUUUUGUUUUUUUGGAUAUUGUUCGGUUAUUUUCAAGUAUUUUUAUAGAUUUUUAAGUAUCUAUUCAGUGAAUUCGGAUUUAAAAUUUAGUAUCCAUUCGUUUGGUUCUGAUUGGUUCUUUUCACUUCGGUUCAAUACAUUUGGUUCGGUUAAAAUGGCUAAUACACAACAGCCUACUAAAACAUGUUAAGGAACAUGAGGUAGGCAAAAAAAAAAAUCCGUUUAAUCGAUAUCACAAAAAAGCCUUAUGAAACAAACUAAAAAAAACUAAGAUCUUCUAUAUUUUUUCAACUUUGAAAUAAGAUGAACAUAAUGCCCUUUCUCUACCAUGUCCUUCACUACUUCAUGAGCCUCUAAAACCUUCCCCGCGUUUUUUAGAUUGUUCACCAGUGUACUAUACACUACAAAAUUAGGGUUACACCCUCUUGACUCCAUUUCCUUGAGCAACGCGCACGCCUCUUUGAAUUUCCCCGCCAUACAAAACCCGCGGAUCAUCGAAUUGUAUGUGAAAACAUUCGGGAGUUGCCCCUUUUCUGUCAUUUCUUUGAACAUUUCUUCGGCUUUCUCGAGCUCCCCACCUGAUAUAUAUCCUGUGAUCAUAACAGUGUAGCAAACAACAUCUGGCGUGCAUCCAACUUUCACCGUUUCGUCCAUAAAGUAUUUGCAAGCUUCUAACUUCCCAGCUCGGCUCAGCCCGUCUAUCAGAGUAGUGAAAUGGAUGACACCGGGCUCAACUCCUACUUCCCUCAUAUGAUUCAGAAGGUUAAGAGCAGCGAGAGGCUUGUUUCCUGUUGCUAGAUGAUGGAGGAGGAUGUUGUAUGUAUACAAAUCAGGAGAAAACCCGUCUUUAACCAUUUCAUCUAGCAAUCUAUAAAGCCGAUCUGUUUUCCCUAACCUAAAGUUUGCAAACAUUACAAUGUUGUAAGUCAGAACAUCUGGCGUAAACCCGUCUUCUAACAUCUGCUCGUAAACCCAAUCAAUCAGCUUGUACUGUUUCACCCCUAGCAAAGAAUGCAAAAUGGCAUUGUAAGAGUGUUUAUAAGGUCGGUAAUUGAAAGUUUUCGACUUGAUGAACUGCUCAACAACAUCUCUAGCAAGGCCUGCUUCCCCGCAAGUACAUAUCAAUAGAUUAAACGUGCAUGCUGUUGUUGGAUAACCGUCUUUGAUCAUCUCAUCAAUUAGCCUGCACAUGGCUUUAUACUCACCACAUUCAGCAAAUAUCUUCAUAAGUAAAUGAUAACAAUUCGCAGUGUGCCUGAAAUUCUCUUGUCCACCACACCACACAAAGAACUUGUAAGCGAGCUUAGCACACCUUGUUUUAUUAUCAAAGCUCAGAGUUCUUAAGAUCCCAACAAGAACCUCUCUCACUAAUAGCCCUGAGAUUGAAACAUUCAAUUCAUCUAAAGCUGAUUUCGUAUUGAAACCGGGACAAUCUUGCUGUAACGUAUCGAGAACCCGAGACGCACUGAGUUUAGUACUCUCCAUAAACCUUUUUCUAACAGAGAUUUUCUCACCAUUUUCCUCCUGGUCAAACUCACAAUCCAUCUCCGAAGAUUCCCAAGUUAUCUUCAAGGGCUCUUCGGUCCCGUUAUCGGUUACAUCACCACCGAUGCUACCAUUGCAAAAUUUCCUCGAUGUGAAGAGAAAGCGAGAAGCUUUACGAACCGCAACACUAGUGCUAUAAUGAAUUACAGAGUUCAUAUUUGAGCUUAAUCCAAAAUAGAUUUUUCUUCAUCAUCUCUGGAACUUAAAGGAACUAAGCAGACCCGAGAACUCUAAAUUCAAAGACGAAAAUCUCACCUCCGAGAGCCUCGGAUUCGCAAAACCGCAAAAACCCAUCAAACUAUUGGCAAUUAAGCAAAUUGGAAUCUAGAUUUCUACAGAUUCCAUCUGAAAUCGAAGAUUACCUUGACGAAGAAGACGAGUUCAAGGGGUAUAAUGGUAAAAUAACUGAACCUGGAUCCCAGGUUCUACUCAGACGUCUCUGCCGCUGCUCUCUGCUUUUGAGAACUACCGAGAAGAGAAUCGCUGAACCGAAUCCACAUUUUGAAGAGGAUCCGACCCGACUUUUAUGGGCCCUAAAAUAAAACUGGCCCAUCCCAAAACGUUAAUCAACGUGGGAACCACUUUUUGUUUUGCUAUAUACCUAUACCUUCAAAACUUUUAAUUUCGGUUAAACUAGUUGACUAGAGAACUCAAAAGUGGUGUCCGGUGAUCGGCGAUGUUAGCACCGGGGGAGAGUGUUCUGAUCCCGGCGGAGGAGAUAAGUCUCUCCGCUGGUGAUGUUAUCUCCUUGUCGGUGCACAAUCUAAUAGCUUCUGUUUCUAGCUACCGUCCAUGGUGGUCAGAAUUUCUAGCAUUCGGUUCCAUCGACCGUCCAAGCUCUUUCUCCCCCGCUGUUUCGCGCGUUAAACUUAACCUUCACCACUUUGCGGUUAACUACGUACUUUUAACCGCUGCUUCCAUCACACUCUUCUUGAUCGGUGAUCCGAUGGCUCUUGUCACGGUUGCAUCCUUUGUAGCCAUGUGGCUACUCCUAUAUUUCUAUAGAGACCAUCCGUUGGUCUUGUACGGUCGACAUAUUAGCGACCGUGUUAUCGUCUUUGGGUUGAUUCUUGGCUCGCUUUGGGCAUUGUGGUUCAUUAAUAGCCUCCAAUGCCUGAUUCUUGGCGUCGUUACAAGUGUCUUGCUUUGUUUGGUCCACGCAAUCAUACGGAAUUCAGACGACCUCUUUGUACAAGAGAAAGAUGUUGUUGUUCCUUCCAAUUUCCUUCAUUGGAGCUGACGAUAUGUCAUAUGCAAUUAUGUGAUUACCUUUAAAAUUCACGCACGCAUUGUCAUAUUUGAAUGUGGCCAUGUGGGUUACGAAAUGGUAUCAGUAUAUUUUACAUGUCCGGUCAAGCUUGCAUAUUUAUUACUAGUUAUUAUCAUUUCUGAUAUGCCCAGUUUUUUUCUAAUCGUCUAUUAUCUUGAGAAAAAUUUAUGACCCUCCCUGUACACCAAAAAUUUGAAAUCAAUACAAUUUUUUUUAAAAGAAAAUUAUAUACAAGAAUAACCAUAAGAAUUGUUCUAAAACUACCUACCUUCACAUUGUAUCAACUUAAUAGGGACAUUAUCUUUGUUAUCGUACUCUCAUCUCCGCUAGAGCCUUUCAUAAUUGCUCCUCUUGUCUUGUGGAAGCAAUUAAUGGAUGGUACAUUGGUACUCAAAUAUUCUUUUGUGAAAUUUACUAACAAAGUAAAAGUUUCUUAGUCUAAAUCUUUUAAUUGAUUAUUUGUAGAGAAAAAAAAAAUAUGACCACAAAAGAUUAUGUCCAAAAAUAUUGUAAUAUUUGACCUAUUCCAAUUUUAAUUUGUUUUAAAAUCAUUUCCCAAAAAUUUCACUACAAUUUUUUUUCUAAGAAAAUUCUUACAUGAUGUAUCUAAAAAUCGAUAACGGCUAAUUUAUUUUAGGGAAAAUUGGAUAAAAAAAUAAAUAAUUGAAAUAUUGUCCAUCUAACGCAUGCAAUAUCAUUGAUAAUUUUUAUUCAAAUACGAAAGCGACGAAGCACUCACUUUACUUAGGAUCCUUUACUUAAUAUCAUAAUAUAAAUAAAAUCUUAUCUACUGACUACAUUUAAAGGAAAAACCUUAUCUAAAACUGCUACAAUUCAUAGAAUGAGACUUUGAAAAACUUUCUCUCCCAGGCACGGUACCCAAGGAGGAUAUUAGAAGUAUGUCUCCCGCUUUUAACCAGAUCUAUGUUUCCUUUUGCAUCCCAAAAGUGGAAACUUCCAACGGUUAUUAACCAACCCUAAUGAGCUCCGACGAGAUUUUGGGUGAUUCCGACGUCUCCUCCUCCGCUUAUCCCCUCUGUUUCAAGCUCUAAUUUGGUUUUACAUCUUACUCCCACUCUCCUCAAGAGUUCUCUCAGGUAGUUUUCUGGUUUCUCACUAUGUCUUGUCUGCCUGUGUACUCUUGUCUCUUAACCUGUUAAACCUGUGCAAGCUUUUAACCCUUUUAAACCUUACUGCUUCUCCGAGAGCAUUUAUUUGAGUCCUGAAGAACUAUCUCCCCAACCUCUUAGCCCACAAUCUUUACUACACUCACCUGCACCCUUAAAUAUUCUUUUGUGAAAUUUACUAACAAAGUAAAAGUUUCUUAGUCUAAAUCUUUUAAUUGAUUAUUUGUAAAGAAAAAAAAAUAUGACCACAAAAGAUUAUGUCCAAAAAUAUUGUAAUAUUUGACCUAUUCCAAUUUUAAUUUGUUUUAAAAUUAUUUCCCAAAAAUUUCACUACAAUUUUUUUUCUAAGAAAAUUCUUACAUGAUGUAUCUAAAAAUAGAUAACAGCUAAUUUAGUUUUAAGGAAAAUUGGAUAAAAAGAAUAAAUAAUUGAAAUAUUGUCCAUCUAUGCAUGCAAUAUCAUUGAUAAUUUUUAUUCAAAUACGAAGCGAAAAAGCACUCACUUUACUUAGGACCCUUUACUUAAUAUCAUAAUAUAAAUAAAAUCUUAUCUACUGACUACAUUUAAAGGAAAAACCUUUUUUGUAAAACUGCUACAAUUCAUUCAACAUUUUGCAACAAGUCGUAAAUCGUAAUUAAUUUAACGCGGAUUAUGUAAAAGGAAAAAGGGGAUUUAGUAUAUGCAUAUGUGGUGGAGACAAAAACAAAAUCUGUACAUAAACAUUAGGCCCCUAAUUCCAGAUAAGAAGAUAAAAAAAUCCUGAAAGUUGUAUGAAAGUUCGUUCAUUUAUAUCUCUGAAAGUUGAAAAAUCUUUUCAAAAGAAAAAAAAAAACACUCCAAAAGAAACUAUGUCGACCGAUAGUUCACAAUUUGAAGUUGUUCCCGCUAAUGCCUCUGCUUUAGACAACGACGUUUCCUCUCACAUGUCUAUGUUGUAUCAGGAUAUUGUCCGAAACCCCGAACUUUUCUGGGAGAUGCUCCGGGAUUUCCAUGAAUCUUCGGACAAAAAAUUUAAGUGAGUUAUGCAUGUUCUUUUAGUGUUUUUGGUUUUCUUAAUGAAUUUUAUUGUUUAUAAAAUUACAAUUGUGGAUGAAAAAUCCUACUCUACAUCGGGUUGAUAAAUUUAUUAGAGAUUCUACAACUUUAUUCACAAUCCAUUGUAUGGUGGGUUAUAAAUAUACCAAAGGAGUCAGUAGACAGUAGCCUUGUUCUCCUUGGUUUGAGAAACACUGGGAUAAGUGGCAAUUUUUUUGUUUAAGGGAAAAAAAUCUUCAAAAUAUUGUUAUUGGAAAAGGUGACUUUGAGCUUUGGCCCUGAACUUCCUCUUAAAAUAAAAAUGACUCGUAUUGUCGUAGAUUUAAGGGCUUGAUAAAAUUUAUUUGGCUAGAUGGAAGCAUAAACCAAUUAGGUUAUCGAAUUGUGAAGGCACGGAAGUGUGUAUGGCUUAUUGAAUUGGAUCUGGUUUGCUCUUAAACUGUAGUCCAAAAUCAGUCUUUAUUUGGUUUUGACAAAAAGAUUUGAAUUGAUAAGCCACGAAGAGCUGUAAGAUUUUUUUUAAUUUUUUUUUUGGUUACCGUUAAUGCUAAAUUGUUUUAAAAGUAAAAAUGUUGGGAAAUGGAAAUUGCUUUUAUGCUCUUCUGAUAUGUUCAAUGUUUUGUGCUUCAGUUGAUCUAUUCUCUUGACUAAAUUUCAUUACAUUAAACUGUUUCUGAUUUUUUCCGUUUGUAAAGGAUUCCUAUUGUGGGUGGAAAAAGUCUUGAUCUGCAUCGGCUUUUCAACGAAGUCACAUCUCGAGGUGGUCUUGAAAAGGUAACAAGUUCAUAGUGCCAUUGAACAUCAAGUUUUAAAUCUAUUUUUUCUUCAUUAAAUAUUAUACAAUUCUGUUUUAAAAAUCCUAUUGAUUUUAGGUGAUCAAGGAUCGUAGAUGCAAAGAAGUGAUUGACGCAUUCAAUUUUAAGACAACAAUAACAAAUUCAGCAUUUGUUCUAAGGAAGUCGUAUCUUAAAAUGCUCUUUGAAUUUGAGCAUCUCUAUUACUUCCAAGCUCCACUUUCUACAUUUUGGGAAAAAGGUCUUAAAAUACCAUUCAUGAUCUCUCUCUUUCUAAUUCUCCAAGAAGAUCCAAGAUUAAUAUACAUGUUUGUCCUUUCUUCGCAGAAAAAGCAUUGAAGCUCCUUAUCGAAAAAUCUGCAAACCGUGACAAAGGUACUUAAAAAUUCAUGUUUUUGGAUAUGUUGCAUGUUUUUUGCAUUUAUAAAUCCAAAGUUUUUAGAUUCUCUUCUUUCAUCUUAUUUUGAGUGUUGGGAUUUGCUUUCUGAAACAUAUUCAGACUCUCAAGAACUGAAACCUGGCACCGUGAUUACUGGGAUCAUCGAUGGGAAAUUCGAAAGUGGUUAUCUUAUAAGCACAAAGGUAGGCUCAGAAAAGCUCAAAGGAAUGCUUUACCACAUUUCUCCUGAAACUAAAAGAGGCAAGAAGAAAGCAAAAUCAUCUCAGGGGGAUUCUCAUAAGCCACCUAAGCGUCAAAGAACCGGUUACAACUUCUUCGUUGCUGAGCAAUCCGUGAGGAUUAAAGCUGAGAACGCUGGACAAAAAGUAUCUAGCCCUAAGAAUUUUGGGAACAUGUGGACCAAUCUCUCUGAAUCUGAUAGAAAGGUAAUUCAAAAGACUUAAGAAAUUAACUGAUGAUUUUAAACUACGUUUUCAAGUUUCAUUUAUCUCGAAUGGAUUUAACGGGUUUGGUUUAUGAUUUUUGAACAGGUUUAUUAUGAGAAAAGUCGUGAGGAUGGGAAGAGGUAUAAAAUGGAGAUUUUACAGUACAGAUCUUUAAUGGAAUCUCGUGUGGCGGAAAUUGUAGCCGCAACUGAUGCAGGUACAAGUGCAAGUGCAGCGGAGACUGCGGAUGAGGCGAGUCAAGAAAAUUUAGCCAAGACUGAUGCAUGCACAAGUGCAAGUAGUGCAGCUGAGACUGAGGAUGAGGUGAGUCAGUAGUGUUGACCGUUGAGAUGGGUCAGUAGUGUUUCUCUAUCGUUGUCUUCUCUAUUUGUUGUAAGUUUAUCUUUAUGUUAUGAGAACUUUGGUUAAUAAUAAGUUGUGGAAUCUUGGCAACGACCCUUUCAAUAAAUUGUUUUUUUUUUUUUUUUUCUGCAAUCUUAAUGCCAAACUUUAUGUUUCAAGAGUUGAGUUAGCUUGUCCUAAUCGUCCUAGUAUGAGACAUGCCGUUUCUGAAAGUAACAUCAUGAUUGUAUUUUAUUUUUUAAACCAACGUACUGUUGUGGGUCGCAUGCAGAGGCUUCUCUAAUCCAUUCUAGUCUAAACAUAACGGGCUUUCUUGUUAUUUUCCUCAACGGGCCUUUUUGUUACAUAUAUAUUCAUAUUUUUCGAAAAGACCAAAAGUUACAGAAUUAGAGUUAUUUCAAAGGUUUCAGACGGUUUGGGCGGAGAAGUCAAUGUUUGAAGUCUUACCCUAAGGAGAAAGAUACCAGAUUUAAACUUGGGUUUAGGGGAAAAACGGCUAAGUCAUAUCCGAACAUUAUGGGAAGUUCUUUUUAUAGAUGAUAUAUGAUCAUUAGAAAUAUAAAUAGUAAUCAUUUUAAAUUUUAUAUCCACAUUAACUAACAAAUAAAUGACACAUACUUUGACCGUAUCUCUGUGAAUCAGCUAGUAAUGUUUUGAAACUUCUAUCCCAAACCAUCAUAGCUUACUAUGACGCCAUCUAAGAAAAUAAUAUGACGCUGUAUAUAUUUAAAUUACUCUACUUUCAAAACGACGUUGGGAAAUAUAGAGAUAGAGAAAAAAAAAGUGAAGAUUUUAAUGGAUAAAAGAGAGUAUGUUGGAUUUCAAUAAUGAGAAGUUAUUUUUUAUAGAAAUGAUAAUAUGUUUAGAAAUAUCCAAAAAUAGUUUAAAUUCUUAUACCCAAAUUAGCGAAUAAAUGACACAUACUUUGACUGUAUCUGUCUCAAUCAAUCAUUAAUUUUUCAAAUUUGUUCCCAAACCAUCAUAAAAUGUGUACUAGGAUGCCAUCCAAUAAAACAAGACGUCGUGUAUGUUUAAUUUUCUUUACUCUCAAAACGAGGUUGAAGAAACAAAUUUCUCCAAAGAGGAUAAAAUAAAGAAAAAGGUGAUGAUUUCAAUGGAUAGAAGAGAGUAUGUUGGAUUUCAAUAAUGAGAAGUAUUUUUAUAUAAAUGAUAAUAUGUUUAGAAAUACCCAAAGAUACUUUAAAUUCUUAUACCCAAAUUAGCGAAUAAAUGACACAUACUUUGACCGUUCUGUCUCAAUCAACCAUUAAUUUUUUCAAAUUUUUUCCCAAACCGUCAUAGAAUGUGUACUAGGAUGCCAUCUAAUAAAACAAGACGACAUCGUAUAUGUUUAAUUUUCUUUACUCUCAAGACGAGGUUGAAGAAACAAAUUUCCCCAAAGAAAAUAAAAUAAAGAAAAAGGUAACGAUUUCAAUGGAUAGAAGGGAGUAGUUUCUACAAUCUUCCCACAAUUAAGAGGCAAUCAAGAUCAAAUCCGUGAGUUAGGGUUGUUUGUUAUAUAAUCAUAGCUAUCAUCGAGUGAGACUUUCGAUUCACAUGAAAAGUUUUAUUGAUUUUUUAUUUACAACAGAAACUCCAUAUAUUAUGUAGUAAGAAAGGACUUCCUCCUCGCUUAUUCGUUGAUUUUCAGUUUUCUUGCUUUCCUUUGUUGCUUUUUCUUUUGAUCUCGUUUCGAUUAAGGGAGAAUCUAGAUCGAAUUACAACACAUCUCUAACCAAGAGCAUAAUAGCUUAAGGUUCUAUGAUGAAAUGAAUCUCAAAAAUUUAUUGUUUUCAUGUUUUUAAAACUUUUUUUGACAUGGGACCAUGUUAGCUUCAUGAAAAUGUCUUUUAGGUUAAGAUAUUUACAUUCUUACAUGUUCGUAUUCGGACGCCUUUUACAUUGCAAAAGUGUUACUUAUUUCGAACUUAUUGAAUAUAUGGAACUUGAACACUUGUAGGUGUAUGCUUAUUCAAGAUUUACAUGAAUGGAUGGUACGAAUGUAACGUGCACAGUAAAUGUUAGAUCUAAUGUUUUAGUGAGUAUUUUCCAACGAAAUGUGUGGAAUUCAUGUUUAUUACAAACAAUUUCUUUUAAAACAUUUCCUUCAUUAUUGAUUAUUCAUUAAGAAAAUUAAUUAAGAGAACAAACCUGUUCGUUUGCCCUAGACAAGGCAAUACAUCUUAUGUUCCUUUGUGUUAUUAUUCCUUGUCUAUGUUCUUACUUAUGUUCACUCUUUUCUUGGUUACUCGGACAGAUUCCAAGUUUCUUAUUCGACAAGAUAAAUGAAUCUUGGUUAACAUCAACGAAAAGAAACGUGGAGAUUGUGAAGAAUUUAAUGGACAAGAUCAGUCAGUUGCCUGAUGAAUUGCUCGUGAAGGUACUAUCAUUUCUUUCAACAAAAGAUGCUGUAAGCACGAGUAUCUUAUCGAUGCGAUGGAAGUCUCUUUGGAUGUGGCUGCCUAAACUGGAGUACAAUUUUAGGCAUUAUUCAGUGUCUGAAGGCCAGGGGUUGGCUAGAUUUAUUACUUCGAGUCUGCGAGUACAUAAAGCUCCGGCUAUUGAAAGCUUGAGUCUCAAGUUUAGGUAUGGAGCAAUUGGAUCAAUUAAACCUAAAGAUAUUUAUCUCUGGGUUUCACUUGCAGUUCAUGUUAGCAACGUCCGUGAGUUAAGUCUAAAGCUUUUUAAUUUUGCGGAGCUUCCAACUAAAUUGCCCAAAAGCUUAUGUAAAUGCAAAUCGAUUGUGAUCUUGAAACUGAAAGACGAGAUUCUCGUUGAUGUUCCUCGUAAGGUAUGUCUCCCCUCCCUGAAAACAUUGUUCCUUGGACGUGUGACUUACUCGGAUGCAAAUUCUCUUCACCGACUUCUUUCCAACUGCCCUGUUCUUGAGGAUCUAGUUAUGGAACGAGAUAAAAUUGACAAUUUGGGGAAAUUGAGUGUGAUUGUCAAGUCCUUGCAGAGACUAACCCUAAAGAUGUCUCGUCCUUGUCAUCUUGAUGGGCUUAAGAUGAAUUCUCCUUCUUUGAAGUAUUUGAAAGUCAUUGAUGAAAGGCUAGAGAGUGAUAGUGAUGAUGAGAGUGACAGUGAUAGUCCUCGAUACUUCUACGAUUUUGAAGAUAUGCCUAAGUUGGAGGAGGCAGAUUUUGUAUUGACAUUCCAAAAUAUCAAAAAGUUCUUUGGAUCAAUCACAUCUGUUAAGCGUCUUUCGUUAUGCUUGGGAGUCUACACCGAAGAGGUAAUCUGUUUCCAUCACUCUAUCCAUCUCAUUGUUGAACAAUAAACCAGGUUUUCUUGAAGUUGAAUCUUUUGUCAUCUUAUGCAGUCUUUAUAUCAUGAGGGUCUUGUCUUCAACCAGCUUGAACAAUUGAAGAUAUGUUCAUGUGAUUCAGAUUGGUCAAUUUUACUUGCCCGAUUACUCAAAAGCUCUCCCAAUUUACGAGAGCUCGAGGCUUACGUGAUAGAAGUAAGUUUGUUCCUUAGAGACCUAUACUCUUGGUUCAAUUAACUAUAAUGUUUAAGCCAAACUUCUCAUGUUUGAUCACAGGAUCAUCCAAAUGGGCGUACGGAUCUACCAAAUCAGUGGGACAAUCAGCUGAAUUGUGUUCCUACAUGUUUGUUGUCCAGUCUCGAAACGUUCCGUUGGAGUGAGAUGCAUGGAUUGCUGCAGAACCAGAUGGAUGUAGCUAAAUAUAUCUUGAAAAAUGCUCGCUGCUUAAAGUCUGCGACAAUCUUUUUUCCGACAACAUAUGCUCAAGAAACAAGAGAUGAGAUGAUCGAGGAGUUGUCACUUUCUUUUCAAGGUCCAGAAACAUGCCAAGUCUUCUUCCAUUGAGGAUGUGAAUCAUAAGGAUUCAAACUUUCAUUUCCAUAGACACUACCCUCCUUUAUUACAAUGGUUUUUUAUUUGCAGCCGUAACUUGAUCUAAACUUAAGGUUUAUGUCUUUGUUUUUGGUUUUCUUUUUGUAUACUUUAUCUUUGAGCAUACUGUUUUUGUUGAGACAUUGGCUUUAUCUUUCUGAGAUCUUACAUCUAGACUCUCUCUUAGGUAUGAAACUAGCUUCACCAAAUCACCUAAGUUUUUCAUACGAACAUUAGCUCAAACUAAAUCGAAAUCUUGAGCGCAAGUAAAAAUGUGAUUUCAUCUCUCUGUUUCCAUAGUGUAUAUACUAUUAUGUUCUUCUUAUAAAACUCUGCAAACCAAUCUUUGUAAAUGGAGAAAUAAAACAUUUGCAAAAAGAGGGACAAGUCUUAGACAACAACAACAACAACAGAAGAAGAAACAGAGAUAGAGAACAGAUUAGAUAGCUUGCAACACAAGUCAAACAUAUACAUAUACAUAUACGAGAGAUUGACAUUGAAACGAAUCAUCCAAAGAAGCUUGGGUCGUAUCCAUUGCUGGAAGUAGCCAAGAUGUAGUAAGCAACGAUGUGUCCAAUAGAACCCCAAGCAAGAACAUCAACAAUGUUGAAUCCAAUUGGAUCGUUCGAUUUCAAGAGACUGACGUACUCCUUAGCACGAUCAUCUCCAGCUUCGAAAUGGGUUUUUCCGUUCUGCUCCGGUAAGCCCUGUUUUGCUACGUUCUCUCUCUGGAAGUUGAAGAAGACGAAACGGCCGAGGAAGAGGGAGAGACCUGUGCUGAGACUUAUGACGAUGGAAGGGCUUAGCUCAGCUCUCACGACAGCGGAGGAGGAUUUUCUCCCGGUGGUUGAUAGUUUGGGUAGGGCGGAGGAGGAGCCACCUAGACGGAGGGGACGAAGGCCAUGGAAUGAGAUGGAGUUAGGGUUUUUGUGGGAGAUUGCAGUGGAGAAUGUGGUUGGUGAGAGCAAAGCUGAUGCGCUUGUGGCCAUUUUGCUUCUUCUUCUUCUUCUCUAAGAAAAAUUUCAGUAAUAGAAAAAUGAGUGGUUUUGGAUUUAUGAUCUGAAGGUUUGGUUUUGGAUUCUGGCAAGCAGGAGAAGAAGCAGAAGAAGAUUUUGUUUGUGAGGAUACGAUUACGGAUGGAUGAUGUGGCAUUCUCUCGUUGGUUCUUUCUGGAUUAUGAGAUUUUCAAAGAAAUAUUUGCGUUCAAACCCUUGUAAUUUAGUAGGAUACACUUUGAAGAACCUACUAUCUUUUUUUUAAAAGAUUUAGUCCAUAAUCUACACUUUAAUAGUCUUUUUUCUCAUAAAGUGUUUGUAUUUUAUUUAUAACUUGUGUUGUAAAAACUCAAUAUUACAGGUCUUGAUACAUAUGAAACUAAAACCAACAAACUUAUAACCAUAGGCCCAACGAGAAAAGCCCAAUCGAGAAACAUAAUCCUUUAAGGAAGUAAGCUAAAUAAUUCCCGACUGCAAAGCCACGUGGAAUGCUAACAAAUAAAGUUGAAGACGUGGAUAGAUGAUUCUUCGUCACCGUUCAUCGCCGAUCUGUUCAGCAACAACCGGAAAACUCCAAAGCCACCGGAAACAGCUAGAACUUUAAACACAGAAGUCCAUCGGUUUUUAAUUAGAGAAUCCCAACAAACAUCAUCAUCAAAUUUGCAAAGAAAGGAUCUUCCAAAAGACAAUUGAUUCCCGAAUUCCAAAAACACAGCGGCACAGAUUUUACAAAAAUUGAUCAAAGCCAAUAAGAGUCCAUAAUUCAUUGAAAAGCUAUGAAUCAAUUCCUGUAAUUGCAAACUCAAAAGUAAAAGCAUCGAAUAAUACACUUCAUUAAGCGAUAAUUCGCUUCAAUCGAUAUUAUCAACACAUCCCUAAUAAAAUUUAUUGUAAGUAAAUAAACAACUGGAAGAAAAACAUAACAACGGCGGAGACAAACCCGAAAUCCGGUCAAGACGAUACUAUGUAAGCUACUGCUUCCGGAGUGGUGCCGACCAAGACGACGCUAAGGAAGCCAUCGCUGUCAGAAGAAAGCUAGCCAACUCCGCUAAAGUAGUCAGAGAUGCCAGACACGAGCCCACUAUGUGAGGAACAUGAGCCUUCGAAUCAAACCAGAAGGCAAAGGUUUGAUCGGAAAGUUUAGCUUUCUCUAAAAGAUAUUAAAGAGAGAAGAGAGAGAGAAACUUACCAUUGAUACACUUUAAUAGUCUAGGAAACAGAAAUAUUAUGAAACAUCAUGAUAUAUAAUUUGAUCCAACAAUCGGCAGAAACAUCUCAAAUUGAGUUCCUCUACAAGUGACCAUAGCCAAAUAACGAGCCACAGACUCGAGUAAAGUUGUCUCUUUGCCAAGAGUUGAGACUUGAUGCAAACUCACCCGAACCUCAUAUACUUAUGUACAAUACACGAACUCCAACACUCAUACAAGAAAUGAACAUUAACUAACUAAAUCCGCUCUCUGUGACAACAUUCCUACUAGUACUUGCACAACACAUCAUUUACACCAUUAGAGAUCGACUUGAGUUUAUGUUUUCUCUUUUCUCGGGUUUCUUAGUUUAACAGAGCGACAGGAGAGUGCAGCAGCACAUAUGUAUCGGCUCUUUUAUUCCUCUGGUAUGUCGGGUGAUCAUAGAAAUGAAUCAAGGUAGGAGUAGUUGUGGCGCCGGCUAUACUCAAUUAGACUUCCGUAAGUGCGGUCCCAAACGCCUAUGAAGAGUGCUUCUGUGUCGGGGCUAAAUGAUAUUCCCGAGAUCUCCCCAAAGAAGUCGAUCUCUUGCUCCGUUUCAUACCCGUUUGAGACAUCAUACACAUGGACAAAGUCAGCCGGCUCAGCCAUGGCCAUGUACUUCCCAUCAGAUGUGUAGCGAAUGGAUCGGAUUGCUCCAAGGUUACCCCUCAAGACAGCAACAGAUUUUGACAGGUUACGAAUGUCCCAAACCCGGCAGGUCUUGUCCUGGUUACCUGUGGAGAACGUGAAUCCAUCUGGGUGCCAUGCUGAUGCAAAGGAAAAGUCCAGAUGUCCUGAUAGCGUUGCCAGUGUCUGUAGAAAAUUCCAAAUUUAGUUAGAAAGCAUAUUUAUUCAGGGAUACGUAACACAGAGAUCGUUUCUGUACCUUUCCAGUGUUGGGGUCUACCAGAAGGCUUUCAGGGUUGUCUCCCACAAUCGUCAACAAUUUACCAUCAGGACUUAAAGAUGUGUGCUAUCAAUACAAAAACCCCCUUUCGUUAAAUAAUUUGGGGUGCAAUUACAUUUACAAUUUCGUAAUGUAAAAGAAGAUAUCAGAUUACAAAACGUAUUUGUAACUGAAACUUACUGCUACAAGCACUACAGAUCAACUUAUACCAAAACAAAAACAAAAAAAAAAUCAAGGAAAAAGUAGGGACUUACAUUCACCGGCCAUGGAAAGCGAAACUGGUUAACAAGCUGGUAUCUCUCCAUAUCAAAAUCUCUGACUCCACAAUCAUUAUUCGACGCAGUAAAAUGAAGUGCCCCACUGCAGACAGACAGACAUCAAAAAAUCAGUUAGAAGAGACAAGUUGGCAAAUACAACCUCAAGCAAAAGACAUGCAAAUACCUGGGUUUGUUAUAAAUCUCAAUAGCAUUGGUUAUAGCAUUAUCAUCAUAAGUAGUACGUGAACAAAAGCUCACACCAGGUCUAUCAAGAUGCUGAAAAUAAAAUCAAUGUGGAAAAAGAUGAAGUUCCUUGAUUAGAAUGCAUGUAAUUGUUGUGUGAAAAACUAAAAAUCCAUGAUUGUAAAACUCUAGAGCUUACCUUGCAUAUAAGUUCUCCUUGAAAUCCACCGGCAACUAAAAAUUUAUCUCUCACUGCGAGUGUACUCACUUGAGUCUUUGUAAAUCCCUCCAACAAACUUCCAGGAUGUUUCUGCACCCACACAAGAAAAAGACAACAACCAUUAAACUGAUGUAGGUAUUUAUAGAGGAAUCUUAUAUCAUUCAGGAAGAAACUAACCUCAGAUGGGGAAACAUGACCUUGAACAUUGAGAACAUCAUGCUUUCCGGAUGUCAAAGUAGAAUAGUGGCUCACCAAAUAUUGUGACAUAAGGUAGACAUCGUGCUUAGAAGUUGCCCAAACCAAAUUCCUCAACUACAAUAAAAAGAAAACAACUUUAGUUAGAUGUCCGCAUAAAAAUAGUCUAUGAAUCCAUAUCUUUUAAGCUUUAACUUAGGUAGACAGUUGUAGCAAUUUGUGCACCCUCAUUACCCAAACACAUGACAUACUGAUGGAAUUACCAAAAAAACAUUGACUCAAUAGAAAAUAGAUAUGUUUAAAUAAUAUGAACCUGGAAAUGAAGAAUACUUGAUUUGAUAGAUCUUGUAUUCCGCCAGAAAUCAUAAAAAAGAGCCCCUUUCUGUGUGGCCAUGCAAUCCUGAAUUCAUUAAGCAAAUGAUAAGUAUCAGUUGAAACCCAAUAUUAGUGAAACAUAUAGAAGAAAAAGAAAACCUACGAGACAUAGAGAAUGGAAGACUUACUUUCCCUGAAGAUUCCCCAGAGUUAGGGACAUUUUCAUAAUUUUUAUACUGUUCUAGUCUAGUUUGUCUGUAUGUCUCUCUCGUAAUACUAAGCCUGUCCCAAGGAAUCCCCUGGAUGUCUUUCCCUUUCCGGGCUUGGUCAGCUGAAGUGUCAGCUAUUUUAUUAUUCUGAAACCAAAGAACCCACACAACAGAGUAAGAGACUGCAGAAAUUAUUAAUUGACAUUAAAGCUAUACAUUUGACACAGGAAUUUUAAAAAUAGCUUAGCAAAUUUACAUUAGACUUCACACAGGAAUACUUACAGAGUAGUCAAACUCAUCGACAUCGGAAUCAGAGGCAGCCAUAUCAUCCCCACGAAAAUCCUCAUCUAAAUCAUCCUCAUCCAUUUCAUCAUCCACAUCUUCCAUGUACUCAGCAUCAUCCCCUUGAUAAUUAGACAUUCUUAAGUUGAUAAACCUACAUAUAUCAAAAAGCACCUUUAUUACUAAAAACUACGAAAGCCAGGGACCACAGAAGCUACAAUAUAGUAGAAUCCAAUAACACCAACAUACUUAAAACAUAAAAAUGUGAUUUAGUGAACAAUCAAGCAUGAAAACACCUAAUAGAUUACGACUCCAUGAGAUUAUAACAAUCUCCAACAAGCAAAUCGCUCAGAAACAAGGAUCAAACCUGCAAUCUAUGUACACAAAUAUCAAAGUCCAUUUCCAGAAACCAAAACUACCGACAUAAUCGAAGAUGGGAGAAACGAAACCAAAUAAUAAAUACUUCACAAGCCUCCUCAAGAACACAAACCCUACCAAUCGUAAAAUUCGAUUCCAAAAACUCAGGAACAAGAAAAAAUCAGAGGCGGAGAAAACCUAGGAUCGAUAGAUUCACCUGGCGAAGCAACUCGUGCAAUUGAAAACGGAUUCGUCAGCCAAAUCCAGAAAAAGGUAUGAUUCUAAAUUAAGUUUCGAGCUGCAUAAAUUAUCAUCGGAUCGAUUUCGAGCGAGUCCAGAGCACGAACGGAGAAGAAGAAGAAGAGAGAGAGAGAGAGAGAGAGAGAGAGAGAGAGAGAGAGGAAUAGCGAAAUUUAUCUUCGUUCACAGUGGAAAAGGACGGUCUCUAUUUUUUCUGAUUUAAAAUUUCCUUAUUUUGUUACUUAUUUUGACGGUUUUACCCUUAUAUAAUUCCAAUACAGGGUUCUGAUUACGAGGGCUGUUUUGUCUUUAUCUCAUUGGCCAUCAUUCAUUAUUAUGCAACCUUGAUGAUAUAUCAAACUCUAAUCAUAAACAUUAACAACUGCAAAUCCACUUGAAAUAUCAGAUUCUGAUAUAAAUGUUUUACUUAAUAAUAUAGUUUUUGCUUUCAUGUUAAACAAAAUGGAUUCUUCAGAGACUCAAGAGUGUUUUUCUCAUUAUCAAAAUACCUUGGGAAAGAUUUACAAAAUCUCAUUUGUUUAGCUUAGUGUAGUUUCUUAUCUACACUGAUUACAACAAAAGGAUUUGGUUUUUAAAAUUCUGAUCUCUCUCAAUCUAAAUUAUCACAGACAGGAUUGAUCAUCAGAGUCUUUCUCUGUCACUAUCUUCUUCUUCUUCUUUUUAUAACUUAAAAAGUGGAAGCAUAGGGACCUAUUUAGAAAGGCAAAAAAAAGUUGUGAAAUAAGUUAGAAGAGAAGGGAAAGAGCUAAAGAAACUAACAUGUCUUUUGUUUUCAAUUCUCUCUCUCUCUUUCUCUGUAUGUGCAGAUUUGUAUUUAUGCAAAACUCAGAUGUUCUCUUAUGGUUUAUUAACAGAACAAUCUUCUUCUUCUCUGCACAAAGAACAAUCUCGAGUGUUAGUUAUCUCAUCACAAUGUUCCUUGCUAUACUGAGGCAGAUUAGGUUCUUACGUGAAGUUGGGAGUCUCGUAUAUUUUGCAGCAUUUCAGUUAUCUCCAUCUGUUUCAUCACCGUGGCGUGUAAAAGCUGCAACCAAUGAAAAAACGCUUUUGAGUCCAUACUGAAUCUUUAAGUUUGAAGGUUUUAAAACUAACAGGAAAGGUAUCGUACCCUCUUUGUUUUGUCGAGAUCAAACUCAACUGACUUGAUUCUAUCUAAAGAAUCCAUCAACAUUCUCUCCUUCUCUACAGGUAUUGCAACGGGUUUGUUCCGAAUAUCCUCAUAACUUUUCUCCAGUUUCUGAAUACGUUCCAAACAUGGAAGAAUCCGGUCUUUCAUUGUGGGCUCUCUAGGAGGUGGUGAGAUGAGGCUGCACCGACUGUCAUCUUCUGUUAGACUUGAAGGGCUGACUGUAGUCUGGCUUCUCAGAAGCUCAAGCGGAGUAUAACGAAAAACUGCAGCUAGUUUCAGCAUUAACGAAAGUAGUCUUUUCGCUAGGUUCUCACAUUUUAUCUUGUCAAUCAUUACCCUUAAAUCAUGAAGCCAACGGAUGAUGGGAGCACCUAGGAGAUACCAGAGAGAAGAUGAAAUUCAAAAGGUGAGAAAACUAUAGAAGAAAUCUGUAAUAUUAGCACUGAGCAACAUUUGAAUUAAAAAAGGAGACAUAUAAAAUGAAAUUGUUUUAUGAGAAAAGCAUUAAUAAGAAGUAUAACCUGGUGAAGAUGUUUCACAUUUUAAACCGAUAGUUGUUGCAUUAAGUUCACGCAUUUGGUAUUGGGAUUGCCUUUCUUGGCCUUUUCGGUUAGUAGCUUUGUCAGGUAUGGCAAACUUGUCGUCGCAACUAUAAUAGCCAUUAACAUCUGAUGCCCUAGCCUACAUAGAUCAUACUGUUCUGGUCAGUAUCAACUAAGGUGUUCUGUGACAAAAAUGCACUAACACAAGAACUCACUUCCUCAUAAGCUGAAUUCACAUGAGAAGAGGCUGAGCAUAAUCUUCCAGUUGGAGAAGAAGGAACAUCAGAACAAGAUAUCGACUCUGCUGCUGAAGUCUCAGCUUGUAUAGCCUGAAAAUCCAAAGUUGCAUUGUCAUAUUAACCAUGAAAAAAGUUCUACGACAAACAGAGAAAUUGGCUAGAUAGAAUCAUUUACCUUUGAUGGAUGUAUACUUAUGUAGGAAGAAGAAUAAUGCGGGUCAGUCAGCUUUCUGGUGCUUUGCCUAAAAAGUGAUGAUUCUCCAUGGUAGAUGAGCUAAUCAAGGAAUAGAUCUAAAAUGAGCUUCAUGUACAAAGCCGAAAUAGAAUCUGAACUCCUACUUAAAAGUUCCUUAAGGAACAGCAUCCUCGAAAACUAACAGCAAAAUCUAAAAAGAUAUAGAUUUUACCUUCAUUAUUUCAGGAUCAUUCCAGGGUCCUUUAUUAGAGCGAAGACACCCUCCUCCAUCACCAAAGCAAGAGCAUGAACCUCCAAGGAAUUCUGGCAAUUGACUAAAGCACAGAGCACCAGAGCUCAUAAGUAUUGGCUAGACAUGAUUUCUGAAACUUUUCAGGUGCAGUGUAAAGAGAAAGAAAGCUACCUUGAAUCAAUGACUUCAUGUAACUUAAAUAGAGAUUUGGGCUCUAGCACCUGCAUUGACAGAGAUAAGAAAACUACACAUGGCAAUAGUUGACCAAAUAGAAAACUAGGCUGAAAGCUGUACGUGUAUCUUUGCAAUGGUCUUUGCAUCAAGAAACUUCUGAGCAGCAGGCCAAAGCAUCUUUUUGAAACCUGUUCCAGCAUUUACAAUGUACAUUCUGUGCAACGUCUGCAAAAUAAUAUGAUGACUUCAAACAACUGGGAAUGCAUGUGAAGAACAUAUGAGAUGUAAAAUUGAGAAAGUCAAGUACCUCAGGGUAGUAACUGUUGUCUAUCUUCGACAUGGCAGCCACAAGAUUUGCAGCUGUUGGUGUAAAGUUCUUAAUUCCCUGUCAUUAACAUGACACUUCACAGAUAAGAAUCUAGAAGCACUAAAGGUGCAAGUUCUGCUUCAGAGCAUAACACAAUGCAAAAAUAUUCCAAAGCUUGGUAAGAACUUAAAUAAUUACCAAUCCUUGCACAUCCAGUAUUGUAGUUGUGGAACAGAUUCGACGCUUUGCAGCAAUUGAGCAUGCAGGGAAUUUCUCCUGGAGAGCUCUCUCAAACUCUUGCACAUGGUACUUUAAAUAUCUAUCUAUGGUGGUGAUACGCAUAAGCUUAGAGGGAUGAGCUUUUCCAAGUCUUUCAAUGUAGACAGGUCUUCCUUCCUUAUCAACUCCAUGAUAGCCUUGAGGAUAGUAUUGCAAAACUUCUUCAAGCUCUUCGAAAUCAAAAUCCUACCAUUCACAUACAUAGUAAAAUUAUAAGAGUUAGAUAUUGAUUCCAUCAACUAAUCCAGAGAAUGAUUAGAUGCUUGCAUCCAAAUACCAAGUAUGUUGUACACAAGAAAUUACUUCUUUUUUUCAUAUGGAAACAAGCAGGUUUCAAACUUAAAUAAAUGACUCCUAACCUCUAGUAUGGUAUCUGUCCCAUACUCUUUUCUCCAUCUAAGCAUUUCUUCCCACAACUGGGUGGUUUUUUCAAUGUUAAGAUCCCUAGCUUUCAAAAACCUACAUUUUCAAAAUGAAUAAUUGAUUAGCUUGACAGUAUUAGCAACACAUCAUGUUUUUAGCUAAAGCGACCAGAGUGUGUAUGUAGCUACUAUAGAACAGACAAACCUCAGAAGAGUAUGGUACUCAUCAUGUCUAGGAGGUAACAAAUCUCUCUCAAGAAGCUUACGGCGGAAUUCAAGCACAACGCUCUCCUCUUUUUCAUCCCUUACAUCUUCAAUGGAGACUGCAGGAACCCGAUAGUCAAUUUUCCUUUUCCCCCGUUUCUUCAAAGAAUGAGUGAACUUGGUUGAAGCAUUAAUGGCUUUCUUCUUCAAAUUCCCUAUUUUUGAGCGCCGUCUCUCAUCUUCUGAGAUUUCAAAGUCUGAUCUUCUUUCCCUAAAUUCGUCAAGUGUACUGAUUUCUUCAACACCUUCAAUAGAAAAGAAACAAAGUCUCAGUAAACUGCAAAGUCUCAGCAAAUGAGAAAAUCUAAUCAAACAACGAAAUUUACCUGACAUAUCAAUUCAAAGGGAAAGCUUAUUGAUGCUAAACGAGCUCAGAGGACAUGCAUGUGAGUCAUACGACCAUCACUUGUGAGACAAAACAAACCUGGAGAAACAAAAGACAAAACUUGUCAAAACAAAUUAAACCAAGAAUCAUCAUAACUUUCUUGGGUUUUGAAUCAAAAGUAAAUCUUCCUGUGAUUACAUUAAAUACAUAUCUCUUUUACACGGCCAUAGACUUUCAAAGCAAAGGAUUCCUCGUGAACAUAAGAACUAAAGCAGUACCAAACCCACAAGAUAUUUGCCUAAGCCAUUAACCACAAAACAGAAACAUAAAAACAAAAACUUGUGUAAACCUUUUUUUGUUCUUGUCGAUAAAUUAGCAGAAACCCAGUAAAAAGCUCCAGAUCUGCAACUAAAAGUGGGGCUUAAGAAUCCAUUUUCACACGAUUUCUCUGCAUUAAAGACUUGUCUUCAAUCCUAAUAAAAAAAAGACAUUACUUUAGCUAUCGCCAUAAAUGCAAAUCUCAAGACUUUAAAUGAGACAGAAACCGUUAAAAAGAAACAGUAGUAAUCAGAAAACGUCGAAAUCAAAAAACCAUCAUACUCUGUUAUUCCGCUGAAUCAGUGAUUCGGAAAAAACAAUAAAAACGUUAGAUUUCGCAGUAAUGCCGAUUGAAGAAGAACAAUACGGAUGAGAUCUCAACCCUCGAUUCUCGGAAGGGGUAACAGUAAACCCACCGACAAACCAAAAAAAAAACAGAACCGAAACAGAACUCUAAUUAAAACUCUGUUUUUACCUUAAUGUGACACGAUCUCUUCGAUAACUCUCCAAAUCCGAGAAAGAUAGAGAGAUUCUCAAACACGCAAAGAUACGAAAGUUUGCAGAGAAAGUAAAGCAACAAGCAAAAGGAUUCUUCUUCUUCUUCUUAGACGAUGAUUACACGAGGAUGCAAAAAGGGAGAUGCGGAGAGAGGAAAGAUCUGAAAUUUCUCGCGUGUGUUGUUGUUCUUCUUCUAUCUUCUGCUUCUUUACUCUUUUGAGUUUUCGCUACUACUUAAUAAAUUAAUAUACUCUUCUUUUCUUUUCUUUUGGUUCAUUUUGAAAGAAAAAAAAUUCUUUAGGUUUGGUAAUAUUGUGUGUAGUGUUGGGUCCAAUGGUCCUUAUCAGAGUGAACAAAUGGAGAAAGAAGGUAAAAGAAAGUGUGCAUUGGCAGCGUUGGUCAGUAGCUUUUUGUUACCCUUGGUCUGUCUCUAUUUUGCAUGCGUGUCCUUUUCUUCCCCCAUGAGUAUUUAAUUAUUGAUUUCAAUGUCUAAUAAAUUCACCCCAACAUGUAUAUAACUUUCGUUUUUCCUUAGAAUUUGUUUUCAUAAACUGUUUAAUAUGUUUUAAUACCACAUUUGUUUUCCCCAGUGUCAUUUACAUUAUUCUUUUUUUUUUGUUACAAGUCAUUUAUAUUAUUCUGUUAUUAAAAUGCACAAUCUGUAUUCUGUAGUAUUUUGUUUUGAAAGCAUGUAGAUAGUGGGUUUGUUCAUUCCCAAACUUGAUUUAAAUCAUACCCUUAAGAUACUGCUUUGUUCAAGUUUAGGUUUUUUACAGGUACUACAAGAUUUUUUGGUUGAUUUACUAGAAGAUAAUUAGUUUUUGUUUUUUAAGAAAGUCCCUCUACUUUUUCGGUUUAAGUUUAGACUUCUUCAAAACAAUUAUGUUUAUCAAGAUGUUAGUCGCUUUAUUUCGAAAAUUUGAAAAAUUAUCUUGGAUUGUUUUAUUUCAAAUCGAUUAACUAGUUAAUAACUUCGUUAUUAACGUCAAGUGCUUAAAAACUUUAGUUGGAGAGUAUCCUAAAUUACUAUCCUUUUUCAGCUAUUUUGUUUGACGUUUUAUCUAAUUCUAAAUCUAUUUAAUGGUCUGGUAGUCAAUAAACUAAUAAAAAUAAUAAGUCAAUGAACCAAAAUUAAAUGGCAAAAAUACGUUGAAUAAAUAAUUAGUCAAUAAUCUUUGUAACGUAUACGAUAUGACAAUUAGUUAAGUUUUUCGUAACGUUUUUUAAUUUUCUAGAAGAAAUGAAAAGGGUGGUGGUAAUUAACUGGAGUAAGUUGACUUUUUCGGACAACCACAUAUGGAUAUGGACACGUGUCAAUAUUCCUCAGCCUGAUUAAUUUAAUGCAUGCAUCCCAUCAUUUUAGAUUCAUACUAGGAUUGUCCAUUUCUUAACCAUUAAAAGAAAAUACUAACAUUCUUAUAAAUUUAUUAUCAUUAUGUUAUGUGUUCUUCUCAUAAAUAUACGUACAUUACUCAGCUCCUAUAUGUUCUUCUUUUUUUCGAACUUUUUUUUAUUUUAUUUUUCGUUAUCAAAAGUUUUCACUCGUAUAUUAAGUUAUCAACACUUAUCAAUUAGUUACCAUAUAUUUUCAAUAAAUCUUUUUGUUUUAUUUUUCACUAUUCGUAUUUGUUUUUGUUUGCAAAUAAAAACGGGUCCAGCAAUAAAUGAGAAAGGUCCCAUCAAAACAUAACAGUACGUUCAAGAAAUUGUACAGUUUCGAAUAUAAAUUCAGUCGGCAAGAAAUAAAAUUUACAUCAUUAUCAAAUGAUUUUUUAUUUUAUUUUUAAUGAUUACUGUUUUACUUUUACCGCUCUAAAACGACACAAGACACUAUCGUUUUUUUCUUCUGUACAAACGCAUCAUCAAACCAUCAUUCGCCAUUAAAUUUUUCACUUGGUUUCUUCAAUUGCGUGCCGACAAAUAAAAAUCCAAGUUAAAAAACAUUUAAUGCUCUGAAAGUCUCACCAGCAAAUUACCACAGUACUUAUUACAUAAUUAUUGGUAUAAUAAGAUUUCUCAUACUUUUGCGGGGAAGUCACUUCUCCAAAAUUUUAUUAAAAAAAUACUAAAAUGUUUUUGCACGAGUAUAUUACAAUCUCUUCUAUUUGGGGUUUAGAUUUUCUGCAAUCUAUUUGAAAUGUUGUUUCGUUUUCAGUUUAGUUUCCAAGAAACUAUUCCUUCGACUUAUGUUUCUGAACUUUUUUCUUCAUCUUCGGACUUGGUUUCUCUUGUUUAAGAUUUAGAUUCUGAGGAUAUCUAUGUGUUUUGCCGGUUUAAAAUUUGUAUCUCAUGUAUCCUUUCAAUUUAUUAUCAAUAAAAUGAGAUGAUCAAAUAAAACAAUUAUACACGUAUAAAAUACACGAAGCUAGUUUUUUCAAUGAAAUAUGUUGAGAUAUUGAAAAUAAAAUUUUAAAAAAUGGGGAAAUGAAAAACUAGGAAAGAGAUAAAAGAAAGAUUUGGAAGGGGAUAUAGAGAAUCCAAGAAUUGAGAGCAACUUGACAUCGUGACAAAGAAGAUGGCGAAAUCUCCGUUUUGCAGUGCAGUGCUGACCAAAAGUCCUUUCCUUUUUGAAUAAAAUUUUACAAAAUUCAAUUAUAAAAAAAAGAAUCAAAGGAAAUGUCACUUUCUUCACAGUGUUGACAGCCAUAAAUAAUAUCUACCCCAUUCCAAUGCCCCAAAUAUUCUGCAGUUAUUAGUCGUUUUCGUUGCCCCUUGCACUUUGUACUUACAUUUUCUUACGUUUUUUCAAAAUACUUCACAUUUUUAUACCGUAGAGUUUGGUAUAAUUAAUUAUUAAGAAUUCCUUUAUUUACAUACAGUCCAAAAUGUGUUUCAUGUCGCAAAGAUAUCGUUAAUGAACACUACACGAAAAAUAUGGAAUCAUACAACAUAUCCAUGCUUAUGAAGAGAGAAUAAGAUUUUUUUUAUUAAGGUUUUGCUAUUGAAAAAUACAUGGUUCUUUGAUCAUAUAUAGUCUAAUAUUUUAUUUUUUUAAAUGUAAGCUAAUCAAUAGAGAUUAUAUAUAUUGUACCAAAACUUGUGAUUAAUACUUAGAGUCCGAAUGGUAACCGCGGUUUUUGUUGUGCGGGGAAAGCGUUAUUGUAGUGCGGUACGGUUCAAUUACGGUACGUGUGGAAGAAAUAUAUUUGCGGGACAAGUGCGGUUUGUACAAAAUAAGCGGUAUAUAAUAAUGUUUGAUUCGUGAAAAAAACUAUUUGUGGUACGGAUUAUAGAUUAUAUAUAUUAAUAAAUAAUUAAUUUUUUGUGUUAAUAAAUAAACAAUAACAUAUAUUAAUUUUUUGUGUUAAUAAAUAAAUAAUAACAGUUUGAAAUUCUGAUGAAAUUAUGUAAUCCCACUGUAGCAAAACAGUUUGAAAUUCUGAUAACAAAACGUAAAGGAAAGUAUGAUGAUGUAAAAAAAAAGAGAGAGAAAAAAGACAGGUUACAAGAAAGUGAAAGAAAAAUUUAAUUAUUUUAUUUGGGGUAAAUAAAUAUUAUAUAUAUGAGUAUAUAAAUGCUUUUAAUAAUUAAAAAAUAAAAAAUAGAAACAUAUGUGUAAAACUCAUUGCGGAAUUCGUUGGACCACAUGGUUAAAGGAGUUUGUUGUUUUGAAAAGCGGUUUACAAGCGUUUACUCUGUUUUGAAAAACGCAAAUUGUAUUUGGGAAGAAAAAUAAAAAACGUACAUGUGUAAUAAAUAAUGCUGAUUGGUAACAAAAGUGAGGUUUUCCAAAUUAGGUGUUGAAAUACGCAAUUUUUGUGUCGCCAAUCACAACUUUUAUAUAUAUAGAAACAUUCAACUACAAAUAAAAUAGUUUUUAACCAUACUAGUUUGUCACAAAAAAAACUACAAAGAAUUUGUAUUCUCAAAGACUUGUGAGUUUUGCUUUUCCUGAUUCACAAGCAAUCUUCUUUUUUUCUUCUUCCUAAAUAUUUCUCGAAUUCCAAACCUUAUUACAUAUUAAAGUCAAAUGCGCCGGUCUUCUUUGUUAUAAAGAAAAAGUGCAAAAUCUCUUCUCUAAAAGAUUGUGUGAUAUUGGGUCCUACUACAACGUAAACUGAUGGAACAAUGAUUCCGACAAAUUUUGGGGUUAUUAGUUUUAAUUAUUUCUUUGUGAAAAAAUAGUUUUAUCUAUUACUAUCACUGUCUGCAUGAGAUUAUUCAAUAAGAACUAUUAGACCAUUUUUAAUGGUGGGUUCUUAGUAAAAUUCUUAACAUUUUUAUGUACAAAAUAAUAGUAAAAUAUUAAAGGUUUUUAAUAGGAAAACAGAGUGUAUCAAAAAUCUCUUAGUUAAGAGCCAAUUUAACAUUUUUAAGAACCCUUUCUAUUUUUUUAUUCAUAUUUUAUUUUAUAUAAUAUUUUAAGAGUUUUUAAAACUUUUUAAGAACCCAUUGUUAAUGAUGCUCUUAUUUAUUAGUAUACGAUGUCUUGACAGGAUUUUCUUUUUCUGUUAACAAUAUUUUCCCGGUGUUUAUCUUAAUUUUUUAUGCAAUAUUGAAAAUUCUUAAUUCUUAUAUAUAUAUAUAUAAAGAUAAAACAAAACGUUAUAUGUUUUUUUCUUAAAAGUGUUGGUAGAUUGUAUAACAACAUUUUCUAUACUGUAUUAAUUUUAUUACACACCACUUUUACUUUUGUUUUUCAGAUAUAGUCAAUUAUUACAAAACACGGCAAAAAAAUAAAAUUUUAAAGCGUUUCAUAAAUUAAAGAUUCUAAGUCAGUUGUAAUGAAGAUUCUAACACUCUCCAAAACCCUUGCUUAAACACUUUUUGGUAUUUUCAAGUAAUUUUGGAAAGUUGUGGCAGUUUUAAAAAUAUGAUAGUUUAAAGAUAGUACUUGAAAGACUUACUUUUCUACAUAAAAGAGUUACUAAUAACAUAAUUAGAUGAAGAACAUCCAUGUUGGGGUUUUGGAUCGCUUUGAGAACAAGGCUGACACAGUCUCUUUAAUCCAUGGAGUCAACUCUUUGCCUUCUUUUUCUUUUCACCUUUACAAGUUUUGAACUGUUCUUGUUCUUCCCGUGAAUAUUGUGUUGCUAAACUCGAUGAAUAUUUUUAAAUAAAGUAUUAUUACACACAAUACACCAAUUACCAAUGUUCACAUGUAAAGUUUUACUGUUAUUUAGAAAUGUAGAGAUUAUUCUAACACACAUAUCUAUGAGUAUACAUAUAUGGACUAGUAAGUCAGACUGUAACUAAUCAAAUUAUUAAAAUCAAUCCGUACAGUAGAACUAGAGUUGGUAAUGUGGUGGUAACUGUUAAAAAACGAAUUUAUAUUGAUAGGCUAGUGGGUUAAAACCAACGUGUGUCCCACAAAGUGAAAAAGAAUUGGAAAUUUCACUGUUUAACUUUUGGUUAUGUUAAGUAACUGAAUGGUACUAUAGUUUUUACAUUUUUUGACUGUUGGAACCAAAUUAAAGAGAUAUUGAAGGACCAGACUAAAGAAAACGAUGUGUGGUUUUAGUUCUUUCUGCCUAUAUAUGGAGAAUGGAGUAUAUUGUAUGCAUGAGGUCCACUUCGUAAGUUUUUUGGAAGUAUUGAAAACGAUCGACAUGACACAGCUCAUACCCUCGUUUUGCAAUUGACGAGUGUAACUUCUCGUCGUUUUGCUUCGUCCCAAACCACGUGCAUUUCUCUUUCUUGUCAUUCCCCUUUUCCAGUACUAAUUACACACUACAAAACUAGUUUUUUUGGUGUUAUUAUGUUUUCGACGUUGCUAUGUCUUUUUAAUAUAUUUGAUUUCAACAAGUGAUAAAAAAGUAAAUGAUAAUGAUUUGCUGUUGUUAUUUACUCCGUAACAAAUUAACAAUUUAACAAAACUACUAAAAUUUUAAUUAUAUUUAAACUUAAAAUUUAGACUUUUUGAAGAGAAAACUCUUACAUUCUAAAUUUUGAGAGACAAUUUUAAAAGUAUCAUUUUUAUGUUACUGUUUGUCAAAAAUACCACUAUUUUUUUGUCAUUUUUAAGACAGCACAAAUACAAAUUUGUAUUCUUUUAUAAACUUUUAUAAACCAUGUUGUCAAAAAUGUUAUAUUUUAUUUUAUAUAAGGUUUUUGUAACAUACGUUUAAAUAUUCAUAAAAUUAUAUAUGAUUUUAUAAGACAUGUUCUGAAUAAUAGUUGUUUUACAUUUAAAAAAAAAGUAAUUUCUAUUCAAUUUAAAAUUGUUACCAUUCAGCUAUCAUACAGUCAUACUUUUCAGUUGUUAAUCUGACAUAUCAGUCAAACUCCUAUAUUUUAAGUUUCUUAACCGGUGUUGAUAGCGGAACACCGUAAGUUUGGCAAUAUAAGUAACUAAAUAUGUAGUUCAAUUAUAUAGUAUCAUCUACUCUACUGUCGUUCAAAAGGAAAGUUAAAACUUUAAUGAAAAUCAUAUAAUCUGUUGCCGUGUUGCGCAUCAAACAAACAACAAAAUAAAAAGGCUUUAAUGUUCAAACUUCAAACUUAGACUUGGGUAUAUUCAUCUUGGGCCGUGAUGAACUCUCUAAUUCUCUUUGAAAUUUGGUUAUGGGCCUUAUAGCGGUCCAUUUAGUAGUCAGAAACUAAAACAUAAAAGGAGACUCUUUGAGAUGACAAUAAGCGGUAGGGGUGAACAAUACAAAAUACCGCAACCAAGAAAAUUGAACCGUUCAACCCGAAUUCAGUUUUUAUUUAAUUCACAAAACCACUUGAUUUUAUUAUUUUCUUAGAGCACAAAAUCAAGUGAUUUUGGAGAAUAAUUAUUUGUAAAUCCACAAUUUGAAAACAACAGUCAACCGUCAGAUUUAUAUUUUUGUAACCUAACUCAACCAAACCAAAUAAUCCAUAAUAAUAUAGUAAAAACUGGAAAUUUCCAUCAUUAACUUGAAAAUAUGGAAGAUUGAAGAGAUUCUUACUCGAAAGAUAGAGUUUGAAUAGAGUUGGAAAUGGUCUGAAACAUAUAAACCCAUAAACGACUUUGUCCAGUCUCAAAAGUAUAAAUAAUGAAAAUAACACUCACUACCAGUCUUUGAUUAAUAUGUAAAUAAUUUGCUUUUAAAAAAAAUGCUAAACUCUUUUAAAAUAAAUUAUAUAUAUGAAAUUUGACCAAUUCUCUUACUAUAAAUAUCAUAUCAUCACACAAGAAAAUGACAUUUAUUAUUUUAUAUUAAUUAAAUAAAAAUUAAUUUAGGAAACAUUAAAAAUCUUUUGCUGUAUUAAAUCAUCCAUUAAUUACUGAUUUUUUUAAAACAUCCAACAAAGUAAAAAAUCAUACUAAUGUAUCAAGCACUACUUUCAUUCUACUAUAUUUAUUUUAUUGAAUUUUGUUUUAUCAAUAUUCAUUACUCCAUAAUGGCUAAAAUUUUAAUUUUGUUGUACUUUAGAUGUUUGCUACCUAAUCUCAUAUUAAUUUAGUAAUUUUACCUUGAAUAUUUUAUUAUUAUUACGUUUUGUAAAUAAGACUUAUCAUAUAACAUUUUCUUUCUUUUUUUUAAUUCUUGUAUGUUAUGUGGUUACAAUUGUUUUUCACGCAAUGAUCCUUUGAAACGUUAGACAUACAAAAAAAAUUAAAACAUGAGACUCUCUCCAAUAUGGCUAUAUGUAAGGGAAUAUAUCUAAAGUGUUAACUUAAAUUACUAACAUAUCAUGAUGUGGUUUGUGUAUUAGAUGACGCGAUAGUACAUAAAAUAAAUAAUUAAGUUAGACAAGUUUCAAACCACAUAAAUAACUUUAUUUAUAUAUAUUGUAUCAAUAUAUCAUAUAUUGUUGUUGUAUGUGUUCAUGAUAGUGAAAGAUUAAAUUAAUAUGUAUAUAAAUAAUUAGAUUUAUAUAUAAAAAUGUAAAGUUGAUAUUUAAAGUUAUAAAUAAAUCUAAUCAUAAAAAUUAUAACAACAUAAAUAGAUAUGAAUUUAUUAAUUAGAUAAUAACACACACAAAAUGAAAAUAAAAAUAACAAAAACUAUAAUCAUAUUUUUUUCCUACAAAUUUAAAAAUAAAAACCCAUGCAUAGCAUAGAUAUUCAUCUAGUAUUCUUAAAACAUGUGUGCGGACCUAGUAAGCAAUAUAUCAAAAACUAAACACAUCAUAUGAUCGUUCACUUAAGAAUAAACACCAUACGAUGAGAAUGAUACCUGAUUUUGAAUUCAUAUAAUUUAGAUUUGAAUAUAAAAAAUGGGAGUUUAUGAAAUGUUUCUAGAUUUCAUAAGAAUACAUCAAGUAUUUUGAGAUUUCCAUAAACAUUUUUUUUAGCACCCAGAAAAAAGUAGUAUGAAUUAUUAAUUUAUACCAAUUUCGAUACUCAAGUCUUUAAUUUAAAUUUAAAAUUUUAACCUAUAUGCUCAUAGAUAUGUUUUCUUUUAAAUUAUGAAAAUAUUUAAAUCUAAAUAAUUCCCAAAUAUGUAAUUCUAAUUUUCACAUGUUCGAAUGAAAAAAAAGAGAUAAAAAUAAUUUUAAUUCCGUUAACGUACAUUUCAAUAUUUCAUAUAGUUUGUAAACUGAAUAUACGGUUCACACUUUUGUAUACUCUUUUUAAUAAGUAGUUAUAUUGUGUAAAACAUAGUUAGUAUAUUUUAAUGGAAUAUUCCUUUAUUUUGAUUUUUAUAGAUCUAGCUAUCGUGGAGAAGUGAAUUUUUUUUCAAAAAAAUGAGUGAGAAAUUUUCUAAUGACAGAUGCAUUUAUUAUAGUUUGCAAGUAGUACCGCACCAGACGCACCUUGUCUGAAGGGAGUAAAUCCGAGAACACGACUUUGUCCAAUCUAAAAAGUCAAACUAGUUAAAAUAUUGUCUAUUGGUCUUUGAUUUAAUGUAACUCAAUUUGUUGGUCUUUAGGAAAUAGUACUAAACUCUUUAGGUGACAGCUAAAGCAUGUCUGGUAUGGUAAUGGUAUCCUAUGAUUAGCAAAGUCUCGCCUUAACAAAUAAGAAUAAAAGGGAGUAAACCUAAGAAUAUAUGCAGAUCUAAAAACUCUUCACUUUCUCCUUCAUUUGCUAAAAAAAACAAAAAACAAAUGGAAGAAAUCACAUUGAAGUUAAGUUCUCGUGCUAUACUGGUGUGUCGUCAAUCUGAUCCCUCUCAGUCGACGCACUUGCUUUCUCGACGAUAUGGUGGUCAACGAAUGUCUAAAUGCCUCAUUUGCAGAACCAAGAAACAUCAUCGCACUAAGUAUCAUCUCCAUUGUGAUACCUGCGAUUAUGAUAUUCACAAGUCCUGUUAUCUCUUACCAAGAUGUCGUUCAAUGCCUUUAACUAGGCCUCACACUCUCCGUGAGGGAAACGAUUAUCACAGUAGUUGCGACACAUGUGGAGACGAGGUCUCCGAAAAUGAUCGGAGCUAUCAUUGUCCUACUUGUGAAAUGUGUUACCACAAGGUUUGCAACUUGUACCCGCAUGAGAUCAGACAUCCUUUUCACGCCCAACAUCCUCUGAAACUCACCUUCUCCUCAGAUUCUUCUUUUACUGAUUUGAAGGAGCUGCCCGCUUCAUGGCAAGAGGAACCCUCCGACUCCGAAACAGAGGACUCCGAUGCGUCAGAUGAUGUCUCCUCAGAUUCUUCUAUAUCCGAUGAUGUCUCCUCAGAUUCUUCUAUAUCCGAUUUGAAAUGCAAAUGUUGUCAGACGAAUCUCCAAGAGGUAUACUAUCACUGUUCUAUUUGCAAAUUUAACCUAAACCUCACUUGUGCUAGAAACCCACCACUUUCCACUAUCUCUCAUCUCAAGAGCCAUGAGCACCCCCUCUCCAUUUUUCCUAGACGAAUCCCUUUGCCAUGUGAUGCUUGUGGCUUGUCUCUUGAAAACACCAAUGAUUACGUCUAUGCUUGUCUUUCAUGUAACCUCAUGGUCCACAUGGCAUGUAUCUUCUUACCACGUGUUAUUAAAAUCACCCGUCAUCAACACCGUUUAUCUCUCUCUCCCUCUCUUCCUUCCGGAAUAUACCCUUGUGGCGUCUGUCGCCUUACCAUUGAUGUCACCUAUGGGCAGUUUUCUUGCAAUAGGGGAUGCCACUAUGCUGUCCAUUCCAAAUGUGCAAUAGAAGAAAGAAUAUGGGACGGAAAAGAUCUUGACGGAGUUCCAGAAGAACCUGAUGAAGACGUCGAGCCAUUUGAGAGGAUUGAUGACAAGACAAUACAACAUUUCAGCCAUGAGCAUUAUCUAAGACUCAACAUCAGAAACGGAGUUUUUGAUGCAGACAGCUUCUGUCAGGCAUGCAUCAUACCAAUCUUAGAGUCUGAAAGUUUUUAUGGUUGUACGCAAUGCAGCUUCCUUCUCCACGAAGCAUGUGCUUCCUUUCCUCGUAAAAAAGACCAUCCGCUACACAAACACCGGCUUAUACUCCAUCCAAUUCCUCCUAAGCCACUUGAGGUCCACAUGAGAAUGAUGGGGGGUAAAUUGUAUUCGCGAAAUGUCAAAGGCAUGUUCAAUUGCAGUGGUUGUGACCAAUUAGGUUUUGGUUUCAUGUACAUAUGCAGCGAAAAAGGCUGCCGAUUCCAAUUAGACGCACGAUGCGCUUCCCUUCCGGAUCCUUUUAUACAUGGAAGCCAUUCACAUGAGCUCUUCUUUAAUCUCACAAAGGGAGAAUGCAUGGGGUGUGAGUCUAGUCAUUGUUCACCUUAUUCCCUUGAGUGUAUGGAAUGCAAGUCAUUCUUGGGCCUAAAAUGCGCUACUUUGCCAAGUAUGACACACUACAAGCACGAUAAACAUCCACUCGCUCUUUGCUACGGGGAAGAAGAUACAACAAAUGCUCAAUAUUGGUGCGACAUAUGUGAGGCGAAAUUAGAUGCAGAAGAGUGGUUCUAUACAUGCAAUGAUUAUUGCAAUGUCACGGUUCAUGUUAGUUGCUUACUGGGAAACCCAAUCUUCUUGAAGCCAACGUCCUUCUACAUAAAACAAAAACGUUCAACGGUCUCAGUUAUUCGUAACAAUGAUAACACUCGAGCAAUUUGCUAUAGGUGUGAUCGUCGUUCCACACAACCCUUUUUCUUUCGGUAUUCAGAUUUGGUGUCUUCGUGUUCUUUUAAUUGUUUGUGGGAUAGAGUACUUAAAAUUAUAUAGUACUAGAAAAUGUCCUACGCGAUGCGUGGGUGAAAUGAAUGUAGUGAAAUAUAUGUCUAUAACUAAUAUAUAUUAAUAUAAUAUUAAAUUAUUUUAUAAUACAUUCAAUAAAAAAUAUCAUAAAUAUUGUGAUUAUGAUAUUUUAGUUUUAAACUAAACAUUUAGUUUAUGAAUUCUAAUCUAAAAUUUGGGUAUUUAUAAAUUAAAAAUUAUCGAAUUGAUCAAAAAAGAAAAAUUAUAAUAUUGAUAUACAAGAUAAGCCUUGUGUUUUAUUUAAAUAUAUGAAAAUGAUAUGCAAUAUUUCUCUGAGUAAAAGAUUUCAUAAUUGUAUAUAUCAUAUUGAUUAUAGUAUGUGUGUAAAUUGUAAAGUAGUUAAUAAAUUUGAAGUUGUGAGAUUGAUAAAGUCUUGAUUAAUGAGUAAGAUUAACAUAUAUGAAUAUUGAUAUAUUAAUACUAAUUGAUAUCAAAAGAACUCUAAAUACUUUAUACAAUUAAUAUUCAAAUUAUUUACUAUUUCUUCCAUCUUUGAACAAUAUGGUAAGAAAGUAUUGAAUUUAUUUACUAAUGAUUUAUUAUAUACACAUGAUUUUUAAUAAAGAAGUUUAAAGUUAUUUCGAUGCACAUAAUCAAAUAUUGAAGAAAAUAUACCAUAAUUCGGUUGAAAACUAAAUAAAUUUAAAAUUUAAAGUACAAUGUAACAAGUAACAACAUACAAAAUAAUUUAAAUUAACAGAAUUUCCCACCAAUGAUAUCAAUGAAGAUUAUAUAUUUUGUAUAGUUUCAUCAUUCAUCAAAUCUCGUAGGUUCUAUAUUAUCUUUAUCCAUGUAAUUUCUUUCUAUAUUACCUCAUUUGCCAACAAAUGCAUCAAAAGACGAAUUAUUAUGGUCACUAUAAAACUUAAGAAACGAAAUAUAGUGUAAAUUUAGCAUGAUAAGUAAAAGAUAAACAUUCUUUCAAUUACUACGAUUAGUAAAAUGAGUUAUAAGUUACUGUUUAGAACAUAAGAUCAAUAAUAAAUCAAAUGUGUACAAAUAGGAAUAAUGUUUGUAUAUUAAACUAUAAACUAAAUGAAAGAGACGAAAAUUAAAGAAGUAGCCACACAUUAAAAUAAAAAGUGAAUAUAUUAAGCAGGACCAACCAGGAAAUAUCAUAUGGAUCCAAUAAACAUUUGGCUAUAUAUGUUUAUCAUUUGGUUGAGUACUCACUGUUGGUAUUUUUCAUUGAAAAACUAAAAUAAUUUUAAAGAUUAAUAUGAAUUUUAGCAACUUGACAUAAAUAUUUUAUAAACAACAUUGGUCAACUUCAAAACAUGAAGAAUAAGUAGAAAAUGAAGGUAAAAGUUACCUUGUUUCUCAUGUAAAAGUGAGAAGGUACCUUAGACAUUUUUCAUCAAGUCAUUUCUAAAGGAAAUCCACCUUUCACAUAUUCACUUAUGCAUAUACUCUAAAAUUUGACUCAACCUCUUUAUUUCAAGAUAUUCACAUAAAAUUUUGUUUUUAAAGAUAUUCAGUUAAAUAUAUAUAUAUAUAUAUAUGUAUAUCCAUUAAUACUAUGUUUAUAUCCUCUAUUAAAAUAUCAGACAUGUUCAUAAAAUAGCAGGUUGAAGACACCGGGUUCCCAUGUCGAACCACUAAAGUGAAGCUAAAGGCCUUUGACACCAUUUACUAAACUUUGAAACUUUGACUAUGGUUAUGACUCGAAUAGUUAAAACACAAAUAGCUGGAGAAAAAAUUAGAACCAUGACAUUAAAUAAAAUAUACAUCACAGAUGAGCAUCGAGCAACACAUAUAUGAUUUGCCUACCUAUUACCUUCAUCAUGAACAGAAAUUCUCAGUGUAAUGAUUGCUAAGAAAUUCUUAGUGUAAUAAUUUUUAAGCCACUUUGUAUCUACCAUUGCACCUAUAAAAGGAUGUAUUAGCAAAAACACAUGAAACAUGUUAUAAAGAAGAGAAGUAACAAAGUGUGAAUCAGUAUCACCACAUUUGGACGAUACAAAGGCUACACAAAACAAAUAUUAAAAUUAUAAAAAUGAGAGAGAAACUUGAUUUUAGUUCAUUUCUUUGGUGAAAAUGAGAAAAAUAAAAAACAACGUAAUACAGAGGACGAAGCAAACCUUUGAGAUUACCAUUCUUUGGUUUCUCCAAUCCGUCAUACUCAUAUGGUUCGUGGUUUGUCUUUUUUUCUCUUUACUUUCAAUUUAAUUAUGUGGAAAGACUUAGCAGACCACAAAAUAUUAUUUCGGUGUUUAAACAAUCCCGAAAGCAACACAGAAUGAUAUAAGUUUAAAAGGAGUUGUAAGAAACAAACCUUGAGGAACCGAUGUUGAUGUUGUUCCUAUGAAGAAUCCUACCAGGAGCAACGGCACCACCAUCGAUCAACUCUCUAAGCCCCCAAUUCUCCACGUCCUCUUCUUUCACCUCCUUCUUCUUCUCCUUCUCCACAUGGCGGUUAUUAGGAAGCUUCACAGGCAACCUCUCGAAGUAAUUCCUGAAACUUACCAUGCACGUUUUUAUUAUCUUCGUAUAGAAAGAAUGAAGCUUCAACCUCAAGCGUUAACAAAUGCAGAGAAACCAACUUAAAAAAACUGACAUGCAGCGUCUUGCAUUUUAUAAGGUGAAGGGUUACACUAAAAAUGAUAUUAAAUAUGAUACUAAAUAUUUAAAUCAUGGUCAUAAUUACAUAAAUGAUAAUUAUGUUAGUGUAACGUAACUGCUUUGAUUUAUGAAAUAGAACAGUUUAGUUGACUAAAAAAAAAACUGCAAUAGUUAGACAUAAUAAAUAAAAGAAAACGUGAUAUCACAUGUGUCAUUAAAUAGAAUAUUAACCUCACAACAUAACUGAAACAUAUUAUGAGUAAUUCAUUGUUUUUUCAUUCAAUUUAUUAUAUUGUAAAUGAUAUUUAUGACUUAAGUUAUAUGGUCAGUUAUGUUGUUUAUUUUGUUUCAAGAUAUACAAAUAAACAUUUAAUCGAUUAUGUGAGAGGCCAAAUUUUUUUAAAACAAAUAAACAAAUGAUCAUAUUGUCAACAAACACAUACCAUAAUCUACUCAUACAUUUUUUAUAUUUUGAAGGUAUUUUAGAGAAAAAAUAUUUGAUCUUUGGUUUGAAAGAUAAAACUAAUAUUUCAUUCUUUAAUUCCUGAGAAAUUAUUUUGUUGAGAAAUUCUAAUAUUAUGGUAAUUAUAUGAAAAUAUUGAUAAAUGAUAUUUUUUAGGAAAAAUAAUUAUUUAGAAAAAGGGCAUUGCAAAAAUGUUAUAAGUUUUUUUUUAAUUAUAAAACUGUAAUUAAACUCAAAGAAUAUGGAAAAUAGUAUAUUUAAAUUUGAGAAGAAUGACACAUGUCGAAUGAAUAGAGCGCCACUUGUCAGAUUUUUAGAGUACAAGUUUGAGGAACCUUACUAUUUAGAAAAAGGGCAUUACAAAAAUGUUAUAAGUUUUUUUUUAAUUAUAAAACUGUAAUUAAACUCAAAGAAUAUGGAAAAUAGUAUAUUUAAAUUUGAGAAGAAUGACACAUGCGAAUGAAUAGAGCGCCACUUGUCAGAUUUUUAGAGUACAAGUUUGAGGAAACCUUACUUUAUUAUAUAAGAUUAUAGUUUCCAUUGUUCUUUUGUAUUUCUAAGAUGUUGGUCCGCACAGUUUGUACCCAACUGUAUUACAUUAACAAUGUAAACAAUAUUUCUAGGAACUAAUUGAGCUCAUUAAUAAGUUGAUAUUUUUUAUUAAAUAUUGAUCCUUGAAUUUAAAUUUAUUUUUAUGUAUAUAAAGUAAUCUAAACUAUAUUUUUAAAACUAAAUUGAUAUUGACAAGAAAGUAAUAUCUAACUUUUAAUAAUUUAGAUGCAGAAUUAAGGCAAAUAAAAUUAAAUAAAGCACUUUGGCUUAGGUUAUAUUUUUUUCUUUCACGUUUUCAAACAUGUAUGAAAAUUUUGAGACUCAAUUUCUCCUCUAAAGCAACUUGGGACUCUCUCAGGCCUGGAUAAAAAAACCAUAACCUAAUAUUGCAAAUUCUAUCAUGUUCAAAGGUGUGACACCGAGGCAAGUUUGGUGUCAAAAUAUUAGAACGCAUCUUAACAUGUCACUCGGCUCUAAGCCUCAAGCAGAUUAGGGUUUGUAAAUCUCGAUCCACUGUUGUUUCUCAGCAUUGCCACUUGGAACUCAUCUGAAGAGCUAUUGAUCAAAACCAUCCAAGAUACGAAAACUUUACGGAAGAAUUUAUGCUAUUUUAUACCAAUAUAUUCCACUUACUUUAAAUUCUCAUGAAUAAUCAAGUACGUAGUGCUACUACUAGUUUGACUUCCCAAACCAUUUUAUGUUAAUUAAGAUCUGUUGAAAGAAAUGAAGAUAAAAAAAUAUAUUCCUAUAAACUAGUUAUGAAUACAAUUUUACAAAUUGGUAGCCCUAAGCCAGUAAGGGAACUAGAGAAUUUAAGGGGAGGUAAAUGUAAAAUGGGAUUAUUACUUUCAAUUUUUAUGAGACAAACUAUAGAAUCUCAUAUGUAUAGGAUGGUGUCCUGCAUGUGCAUAUCUGCUGAUGGUCUGUUCCUGAGAUCAUAUAAGGGAUUAGUUUUAUGACACAAACUGUCUCACACACCAUAUUGUGUUCUUUAGGGUUGGUUAAUUUUUAUAUCAUCUGUCAAGAAAUAAGAACACAAAAAAAAAACACGUUUCAGCAGAGAUAUUAGGUUUUCUUGUUGACACAGAGAAAGGUGUAUAUAGCAAAUUCAACACUAACCUUGAUGAGGAUCUUCGUGUACAAAGAAACUAGCAGCGACUAUCAAAUAGCAAAGAAUGAGCAUCAAUCUUUUGAAGUAAUUCGAUGUCCCUUCCUGCAUUACAACAAACACAGCUUCAUGCAAGAAAAACUCAAGAAUGCAUGGUUUCGUGAUUAGCGAUCAUGAAGAUAAAAUCAACAUUGGUUUCAUAAUUAGCUUCAAGAUUAACUAACUGGAGAAAGAAAGCUACAACAAUAACAGUUAUGAGCAGAGUAGCCGUCUCAAAUAGCUGGAGAUUUAGAUCCAUUUGUGCACCCAUCAUCCAUCCGAUCACCACACAAAAAGGAACCUAAAUCCAAUUAAACUAUCAGACCAAAUCUUUUAGAGAAUGUUGAGUACUAGACCCAAGUUCACAUAUCAUAUACAUACCGCGAACAUAGAAAUCUGAAUGGAGGAUCCAAUAGCCACUCCCAAAGACAGAUCCUGUAGAGGAGAAUAAUAAAUUUAUAACUAAAGAAAAGAAGCAAAGACAUCAAAAUGAAAGAGACUUGUUUACGUACCAGCUUGUCUUUCAUGGCAAACAUAAUCGCACCUGCAUGCUCAGCCGCAUUCCCAACUAUAGGAAGCAAGAUGACACUGAUAAAAGAGAUUGGUAUCUUCCAUGAGACCGAAGUACCCUAUUACAGAUUCAAAAACAACAUAACACAAGAUGACAACGUAAUAAUAUAAGAUCUUCUUAAGAAUGAAAUACAGGGUCUUUAGUUACCUCUAUGGCAUCGACAAGAUAGCCCGAAAGAAGAGAGACCCAAGCCGUAAAGAUUGAAAGCCAGAUGAUAGCUUCCCACUUGGAGAUCUCAGGAUCUUCAUCAUCGUUUGAAGUUUCUUCGUUCUGGUUAGUUUUCUAUAAUUUACAGCAGAGAUAAGUUUUAAGUAGAACUGGCAAGAAUCAUUUAGAUGAUGAAAGUGGUUGUAACUUGUAAGAAACAAUUUUAUAUAUGUAGUUAACUUAAAAGACAAGGAACCUCGGUAUAAAAACUUGGCUGGCUCUUUAACUGGAAAAAGAGAUAAGCUGCAUAGGCAACGAGCAUUAUACAACUGAUAAAUCUCGACAGAGCAAGCUCUGAUGAUCCAGCAUGAACCUCGCUGUGCGUGUAAUGAAGAAAUGUGGGGAAGAGUAGUCCCAUGACUGCCAUUAAAAGCAUGCCCGAACUCACAACUGCAUUCCUCUGUAUGGUAGAAGAAAUAAGAUAAGAAACAAGAAGAAUUGAACUAAACAGAAAAAAGAAAAGAAAGAAUGAUAUGCAAACUUUGUCAAAGACUUGAUCUUUCCCGGGAAACACAAGGCCGCCACAGAAAAAAGCGCAGCCAAGUACAAGCAAAAUGUUAGAAAGAAUCGAGCCAAGCAGCGUCAACUGUACAACGCGUAUCAUUCCAUUUUUAAGAGCGAUAAUCGAUAUGAUCAGCUCAAUCACGUUUCCAAAUGUAGCAUUGAGGAGACCUCCAACUGUCAAAAUUGUCUAGCGCGUCACAAAUAUAUUAGGAGAAAAAAAAAGAGAGUAACGGAAGAAACCAAGUCAUACCAGUUGCGCCUGUGUAGCAAGACAAUUGCCUGUUACAAAACUAAACGGUUAGUGUUUGAUGAUAUGGUAAUUAAAGAGUCACAAGUGUGAGGAACAACUUACUCUGUGGCAUAUCCGAGACGUUCAGCUAAUGGUGUGAUACCUACUAAGCUUAGUAAGAAGAACCACCCCUGAGCCACAACAAGAAUCGUUUCUUGAGACUAAACAAGAAGAAACAAAACUAAUUAUGAUAAGUACCUGAGACUACAACUGCUCUCACCUUAUUAUCUGUCAAGUAGUGGACUAGUAUUGCUAGAGGACCGAAAGGCAACAAAAGAUUUAGUUUAUUCGAUAAAAUGACGAUCUUGAAGCUCUGGACCACACUGUUCCUAGGCGCUUUAGCUCUGCGUUCUCGAAGUGAUCCUUGCUCCAUCAAAGAAGCUGCAUUUGUUUGUGGGGAAUCUGUUUCUUGUUCCAAAAGGCUUUUAAGCUCAACUUCAUUAACAAGCCCCAUCUGUUUACGAUAAUAAUUUAGUUCUUAAGCUGAUAAUGAGGAGCCAAAUAACUGAGACAAGACGUGAACGUGGACUAACUUACUUCUACCUUCGCCUGCAUAAAAGCUGGCACCUUACACCACCUUAUAGACUUGAAGAAGUUGCUGAACAUCAAAUAUAGCUCCAUAUACAUGAGAUUUGUGAUCUCAUUGAUCUGUAUAUCGAGUUCUUAGAAAGUCUAGUCCUUGUUAACCUUAACUAUUCCUUAAGAGUGUAUGGCAUGUGACACAUGAUUACAAGCACAAUAAGCAUCCACUCACUCGUUGCUUGGGGGAGAAGUUACAACAGAUGGUCUUUGAAUUGUUUAUGGAACUCCAGUAUUGAAGUAUUAAAAGGUUUCCAUUUCUUUAGUUUCUUUGUUCCUUAAAGGUAUGACACUGAAGCACGAUUCCAUACCUUGAAGCUCAAACUUGUUUUGCAGCUUAAGGUUGCCGAAUGUCGACUCAAUGCUGCUUUUGUUGAUCCACAUUUUCAACAAAUCCAUCUGGAACUCAUCUUCUUACGAACUAUGAUAAAUAUUUGCAGAAGAAAUUCUGCAAUCUUAUGCCAAAUAUGGCUCACAAUAUUGUUUUGAGUAAGACUUAACUAUAACUAGUGUCAUCUUGUUUUUUACCAUUAAAUGUAUGAAUACAACCGUCCAUAAACUGUUCAAAGAAAAUCCUCUAUAUAUUAGAGGAUAAACAAGCAUACUUAGAAAAGAAGAGACACUCCAAUCUUGAAUCUUCCCAUCAUAGUUAUCAAGGUAAUUUUACAAAUUUGUAACCCUAUAAGCCCCUAAGGGAAGGUAAAACCGUAAAAUGGAGCUACUUUCAAAUGUUAUGAAACAAACUCUAGAAUCUCAAAUGUACAUGUAAGAUGAUGUGUUCCUGAGAUCUUCAGGCUUUAGUUUUAGGAUACAAACUUUUUAUGUUCUUUUGGGUUGAUUUAUAUAUCAUCUGUCAAAAAAUAAGAAGACAAAAACAGGUUUCAACAGAGAGUUGACACAGAGAAAGGAAUAUAUAUAGCAAAUUCAACACUAACCUUGAUGAGGAUCUUCGUGUACAAAGAAACUAGCGGCGACUAUCAAAUAGCAAAGAAUGAGCAUCAAUCCUUUGAAGUAAUUCGAUGUUCCUUCCUGCAUAAAAACACCACACACAAAGACAUUUAACAACUUUGAAGAGAGAGAUAUACUCGAGAUUGGUUUCGUAAUUAGCUUCAAGAUUUACCUGGAGAAAGAAAGCUACAACAAUAACAGUUAUGAACAGAGUAGCCGUCUCAAAUAGCUGGAAAUUUAGGUCCAUUUGGGCACCCAUCAUCCAUCCGAUAACCACGCAAAAAGGAACCUAAAUCCAAUCAAACUAUCAGACAAAAUCUUUUAGAGAAUGUUCAGUACUAGACCCAAGUUCACAUUUCAUAUACAUACCGCGAACAUAGAAAUCUGAAUGGAGGAUCCAAUAGCCACUCCCAAAGACAGAUCCUGUAGAGGAGAAUAAUAAAGUUAGAACCUAAAGAAGAGAAUCAAAGACAUCAAAACGCAAGAGACUUGUCUGUGUACCAGCUUGUCUUUCAUGGCAAACAUGAUGGCACCUGCAUGCUCGGCCGCAUUCCCAACUAUAGGAAGUAAGAUGACACUGAUAAAAGAGAUUGGUAUCUUCCAUGAGACUGAAGCACCCUAUUACAGAUUGAAAAACAAUAAUACAAAACCAUAAGUCAAACUCAUAAACUAGCAUUACAAUGUUGUCCUGAUCAUAUGGAAAUGAAUAAACAGGCCAAGUUAAUACACGUAAGAUCUUUGUUCGAAAUACUAAGAUAGAAAAAAAAGCAGGUUGCUAUUCACCUCUAUGGCAUCAACAAGAUAGCCGGAAAGAAGAGAGACCCAAGCCGUCAAGAUUGAAAGCCAGAUAAUAGCUUCCCACUUGGAGAUCUCAGGAUCUUCAUCAUCGUCUGAAGUUUCUUCGUUCUGGUUAGUUUCCUACAAAUUAACAAUGUUUACCAAACAGCUGAGAUCAGUCCAAUUAGAAGAGAAAGAUAGCAACCACUCGGCUUUAUAAAACAGAAAUUCGACAGACCCCGUAAAACUGGCACGAAUAUUCUGUGGUCAUGGAUAUACUGGUGAAAACUCGAAAAUGAAAAAAAACAAAUGUUGAAACAAUUGUUCUAUUUAUAAUUAUCUUAGUCUAUCGUUUCCAGGCUUUUUGUAAGAAAAAACGAAAGUCAACCGAAGGUCAAAGACAACAAACCUCGGUGAGAGGGGUAUAAGAGCUCGGCUGGCUCUUUAACUGGAAAAAGAGGUAAGCAGCAUAGGCAACGAGCAUUAUGCAACUGCUGAAUCUUGAGAGAGCAAGCUCUGAUGACCCAGCAUGAACCUCACUGUGCGUGUAAUGAAGAACUGCGGGGAAGAGUAGUCCCAUGACAGCCAUCAAAAGCAAUCCCGAAUUCACAACAGCAUUACCCUGCAUUGCAGAAUAAAUAAGCUCAGAAACAUGGUAUAAAUUACAGAACAACAGGGACAAUUACAUUGAAAAAAAGAAGAGAACAAGUGAUGAUAUUCCUACUUUGUCAAAGACUUGCUCUUUCUGGGAAAAUACAAGCCCGCCACAAAAGAAGGCGCAGCCAAGUACAAGUAACAUGUUAGAAAGUAUCGAGCCGAGCAAUGUCAGCUGUACAACACGUAUCAUUCCACUUUUAAGAGCGAAAAUCGAUAUGAUCAGCUCUGUCACGUUUCCAAAUGUAGCGUUUAGGAGACCUCCAACUGUUAAAUUUGUAAACAGCGUCAAAAAGAUAUCAGGAGAAAACAAAGUAAACCCGCAAUAGAAUGGCGAUCAGAAGAAACCAAGUCAUACCAGUUGAACCAGUGUAACAAGCUAAUUGCCUGUCACAAAAUAAACGGUUACUUAUAGAUAAGCCUUGCUGAUAGAAUGAUAACAUUGUAACUUAUAGAGUUACAAGUGCGAGCAACAGCUUACUCGGUGGCAUAUCCGAGACGUUCAGCUAAUGGUGUGAUGCCUACUAAGCUCAAUAAGAAGAUCCAUCCCUGAGCCACAAGAAGAAUCAUUUCUUGGGAAAUAACAGGAAGAAAUGAAACUGCUAUGAAUAGUACCCAAAAAGUACAACUGCUCACCUUAUUAUCUGUCAAGUAAUGGAGUAGUAUUGCCAGAGGACCAAAAGGCAACAAAAGAUUAAGUUUAUUCGAUAAAAUCACAAUCUUGAAGCUCUGGAGCACACUGUUAUUAGGUGUUUUAGUUGAGCAUUCUCGAAAACUUGCAGAAAGUGAUCCUUGUUCCAUCAAGGAAGCUGCUUUUCUUUCUGGGGAAUCAGUAUCUCGUCUAAAAAGGCUUUUGUGCUCAACAUCAUUAACCAACCCCAUCUGUUCAAAGUUGUAAUCUUUCCAUUAAGCUGACAAUGAAGAGCCAUAUAAUCAAAGAUAAUACAUGAUCGAUCAUGAACAAACUUACUUCUACCUGGGCCUGAAUAAGAGCUGGCACUUUACAACAACCCAUAGACUUGUGCUAAGAAAACAUGAAAACGAGGAUACACUACAAUAUCGUCUUCUUCUGGAAACCUGGAGAUUGGAAAUGCUUAGGAGAUCAAUCAUCAGUAUCAAAGAGCAUUCCGUUAUACAGUAUAUAAACCACAACCAAAUGUGAAAACAAGAAUCCAGAACAAGCUUGCACGAUUCAACUGAAAAUGUGUUAAUCUAAGCUUAAUCUUUCCAUGAAAUCAGAGCCCAAUCAAAUGACUUGAUAUUUGAAAAACACAAACCCAAUUCCAUCCAAUAUCAAAACCCUAAAACCAGAUAUAAACUACCAAGAAUCAAAUAGAAGACCUAAAGAUGAUCGGAGGGAUCAACGAAACGGUGAAGAGAGAUUCGAAAGUUUUAGUACCUAAGAAGAAGUCAACCAAUGGUCAGAGAAGAAAGACUUGAACAAGUUGCAGCAGAAAUCCCACAAAAAUAAACACUUUGAUAUCUUCUUCUUCUUCUUCGGAGAUUUGUGAUCCCAAUGGUCUGUUCUUUUUUAUUGAGAGAUGAUACUAAAGAAUUUGGGAGAUGUCAGUAAACAAGUGCGUGAUCGAGAGGAACUUUCCUUCUUCUACUCAUUUUUAAAGACAUGUUUCGAUUUUUUAUUUUCUUCUUUCAAAUAAUUUAUGAAACUAGUUAAUUGAAUUUAUUUAGACUUAGAAAAGAAAAAAGACUAUUGGAACUUUAUCUAAUUUCCGAUUUUUAAAAAAUAUUUGGACUCAAUAUUGUUACUUUCUAAUGUUAUGACUAAUGAAUAUUGAAAUAUAUGUGAACUGUGAAUUACUGUGAAGAUUUAAAUAUAGGAGAAAAAAAAGAGCAAUUGCGGUCGAUAAAUUUUAUUUUAAUAUCAGUUUUUAGUUAAAACAUAGUGGUCCUAAACAUGACGUGUUACCAUAGUCCAGAAUAAAUUAACUAUCGACCGCAUCAAGUAAUCCCAAUUUUUUUAAAACUUUUUUGUUAAGGCAAUUUUUUUAUCAUUGAUUCGAUCCCUUUCGUUUCUGGACUUAAAUAAAUCGUUUAUAAUUUCUUAAAAUUUUCCUUUCAAAAGACGACCAAAAAAAAAAAAAAAUCCUUUCAAAAAAUAUCAUAAACUGAUCAAUUACUAGACCGAACCAAAUCAAAAUAAUUAGACCAAAACCAAAUUUUCUAUAAAAACAUUUAGGGUGUGUGUAGAAGUCAUUUUCAGAGUAAUUAAGAAUGCUUUAAUUUGCGAGUUUUAUUAGUGGAAGUAUUGCUAAAAAUGCACGGAUCUACUAGUCUACUACUAUCUACAGAUAUGAUUACAUAGUCGUCUGGUUGUUCUCUUGUGGACAACUAAAUUUGCACCAUAACAUUUUACAGAUUUUACACCGUUGAUGAUAAAUAAGAAGGAAGAAAAUGAUUACACUAAUGCAUGCUAAGCCAUACAACAAACAUUUUUUUUUUGUAUUAUUAUAUCAAAACGAACACGGACCAAUCUGUUUGAUUUGUAUUGGUCUGGUCGAUAACCCAUACAGAUUAACCAACAAAUCAAUACAGAACUGAUACAAUUAUACAGAUCAAUAAUUAUUGGAUGACCACGUCCCACAGAUACAAUUCUUUCUCCGGAACUCCUAAAGUAAACGUAACUAAACCGGAUUCCGGUUCAUACCGGUACUCCACGUCGUCUGAAUCCACCGUAACACUUCGUGGUCGUCGAACGGACGAGUAAACACCAACCAAACCACUGCCUCGAAGUUUCAUCCUAACGACAAAUUUAGUCCCCUCGUCAUCGUAUCUUAAACUCACAAUGGCUCCUCCAGAAUUAAACAUCUCCAUAAGCCCCACCGGUGCAAAUUUACUUCCAUCGGAAAAUUCCUUCACCGGAACCACCGUGAAAACUUCGUAUUCACGUGGCAUCAAUGUCACUGGUAAAGAUGUAUCUUUUGGGAGAUACACUAACUCUCCUGAUAGAAAAGGAAAAAAAAAGUGAAGGUUUUAGUAUAAUCAGAGUAAUUUAGACUGAUGUUUGAGUUUGUGUACUACCUCUGAGAUGGGAAUAGACAAUGGAAUCUCCUGUCCAUUCAAAGGCUGCUACUUUAUGAAGAUAAUGAACAUCAUUGGUUCGGACACAACCAGAAAUGGUCCCAGGUUCUUGGUCAUGGAUUAGGUAUCUCUUCUCGUUCUUACACCAUCCAGCGCCUUGGCAGUUGAAAACUCCAAUAACGCCAGUGAAUUCGUUCAGGUUCCAUAUUUUCAGAAGACUUGCAAAGUAUAAUACAACAGUUAGUUAAGAUUUAAGCUUUCUUCUCUUCCAAGUAAAGGAAAACGAGAUACCUUUUAUUGUCUCUGACUGGAUCACUGAAGAAGCAAUCACUGGUUGGUCUUCCGGGAAGCUUUGCUCUGAGUAUGGAACCGUCUCGAAGUACUAGCUUUCUUAAAAGGUUGAAGUCAUGUUGUCCCGGUUUGUCGCUGUUUAACAAGUUUGAAUGGAUCUAGAGUUACUUACUUGCAGCUCAUUUUACUAUGAUAAUUUGUUUGUCAAAUGGUAUUGAAUCUUGUGAUUACCUGACAUAUAUGGCACAUCCUCCAACCGCGCGAGCUGCAGCAUGAUAUUCAGCCAUCGGAUGCAAACUCUGCAAUGAGAAACAGAUAGAUUCAUUCACAAGUUCAGAAAAGUUUGUUAAAGCAAUUCAACGUACAUGAAACAUGUCCCAGUCCGGCUGCAUAAACUCUCCAAGGAAAAGUGUGUUAUAUGCAACAGAAGCAAUGUGGAUCGUGUGUGAAGCGGGGUCUCUAGGCCAGAAAUCGUCUGAUGCUCUUAUAACAGCAGUCUUUUUUGCGCUAAAGUAUCAUUACAAGAAGAAAUUAGAAGGGAUAGUAAUAAUUAUGGAUAAAUAUCAAUGAGAACAACGUUGUAGGUCCAGAAGCUAACCUGUAGAGACCAUCUGUGUUAUGACUCAUGCAAGAGAUAAUACCAUUGUCAGGGAAGUUUCUUGAAAUAGAAGCUUCCAAAGCCUGGUGAUACUUCUUUGCAAGUUUGACACGACCACCAUGUCCAGCUCCAAGAGUUUCAAGAAUGUUUUGGACGUCUACUUUGACACCAUCGACCCCAACGGAUGCAAGGUAUGAGUGAAGAUCAUUAUAGAAGCUAAAGACUUUCUCAGGAUUCACCAAACCAAGUCCAUUCUUAGUUAUGCUUUCUAAACAUCCACAAUUCUCACUGGACAUAACUCCUGGUGAAGAAACUGGAUACGCAACCUUGGAUUCGUAGUGUUCCAUACCAGAAACACCUGGUUUGACUCCUCCCCAAUAUCCUGUUAUCGCAUGCCAAACAUAAACAUACUUGAGCGAAUUAUUACUCUUAAUGUCUGUGAUAACAUGUCCAAGACUCAAUGAAGGGUCAUCCACCCGGUGGCCUUCUUUGCCAUCCUUUUGAAACUUAUGAUUCUCCUUGAUGUGAGUUAACCGGUUUGCAAAACUGAAGGUAAGCACAAAAGAUAAAGAGUGGUUUAUUAAGACUAAAGAAAGAACUUAAAUCAGAAUUAAGAGAGCUUAAUUACUUACUUGGCAGCAUUAUCAGCGUUGAAUUCUACACUGGUCUCAUCCAUGCCAACAGAUUGCCAUCCAUCAUCAAUUAUGACAAACUUUGGGGUAACCCCACCAGCUUUGAGGCUACAGAGAAUCAGUGCAGGUUUGGUUAAGUCACAGU